This 57951-nucleotide long non-coding RNA is filed under the name Olea europaea (common olive). RNAcentral's name for it is "long non-coding RNA (OEUR_LNC014111)". The record is from RNAcentral. Lineage: Eukaryota; Viridiplantae; Streptophyta; Magnoliopsida; Lamiales; Oleaceae.
ACUCUAUUAUUUAAUUUAAUUAAAUAUUAGUUAAAUAAUAGAUUUACCAUAAAAUUAGAGAAAUUAUAUAUUAAAAAUGUUUAUGUCCAAAGUUGAUUAAACGUAAGACAUAACACUUACACUUUGUCGAGUUAGACGAAAUUUUAGAGAAAGCUAACUUUCUACUACAAAAAUAUAAACAAAAGUUAAAAAACGAUAUUUGGAUCCAUCGACUUUAAUUUGUGCGAAUCAUCCUUGUGUCUAUUUCCUUCGUUGAAGUUUUUAAAAUAAUGAAUUUAUCCUCGUGUUUCAAUAAACCAAAAGCAAAAGAAGAAGAAAACUAAAAUAAAGAAAUAAUUUCAACAGGAAUAGUAAAUCUUUCCAAAAAGUGCCAAUAAGUUUCACUAAUUACAAUUUGUUCAUUUAAAAAAAGAGUAAAUUUGUCAUUUUACAAAACUUAAAGCGGUUAAUGAAAGAUACAAACAAUAAGGAUGUUUCGUACAAAGAAAGAACAAUCUGAGUAACCAAAUGCCAAAAUUAAAAUCAUGGGGAUGAUUUGCUCAAUGAAGACAAAUGAUAUGAAUGUUUUGCGGCAAUUACCAUCGCAUAUCACAAAUGUCAAAAUGCACCUCUAUAAAGUAUGCCUUCAUUGUGAGUGAAAGAGUUAAUUUCAUCUGAUGCCAUUGGAGCCCAAGUGGUAACCAGGCUUCUACAAUGAGCACCAUUCAUAUCUCCGUUCUUUGUGGUAAUCAUCAGGCAUUACCUGGUUUCUGAAAUAAGACACCAACUUCUAAGAACAGUUCAUAUAAACAAUUUUAACCUAAACAAGUGGACAUAAAUAAGCAGCAUGCUAGAGGGAAUGCUCUGAUGCAGAAUCCGCGGGGCUCAUGGCCUCUCAGGCCACAAUACAACUACCAAGCAACCAAUGUAAAUUCUAUGAAUCCAUGUGAAACCACUAUCUAAAUGAGGCAAGAGCCUCAUCCCAGAAGAACUCCACCAAGUUUAUAACUAAACUCACUAAUCAAAAUCCUAUAUCUUUCAAAUAAAAACGGACUUUUGAACAAACGAUUAAUCUCUAAAAGAAAAUUCUUCCUAUCUAUCGAAUACCAAAAAAAAUGGAUUUAAAAAUACAAAAAAUUCAAGUACGAAAAAUCCUUUCAGCAAUCCAGAGGGAAAAUACACUAUUGACUUUAAUUGGUAACUGCUAAAAGUUUUAUCAUAAUCAAGACAAUAAUUCAAGGAAAAUUGAAAAAAGACAAAAGUGUUUACAACUAUAAAAACAUUUGCCUCAGAGGUAGUGACAAUCUUGUAUCAUCAUCAUCAUCUUUUAUCUCUGAUAAUACUUAUUAUAAGAAAUGCAUCACAGGCAAACCAAAAACAUAAAUUCAGGAAACAUAUGCGUGGUAUGGCAUCAAUUAUUACAAUUUUUUAUGGUAGUAUAGCUGCCUCGCGAUGAUCCAGCACAAUUAGACCAAACAUAACACAACCUAGAACAAGCACAAGGUCAAAAAAGAAAAUCGUUUGGACACUGGGAGAAUGCCUCAGCUGCGAUGAUUCAUAUGCAUAAAUAAUCAUAGUUUAAUCUCAUAAUUAUGCAAUAUAUGCAUCACUGGCAUACCUUUCACAUUCUUCGGUAAGCACAAGGUAGAAUUGAUUGCAAAAUAAAUAAAUAAAUAAAAUUUAGAUUAUGCAUCAGAGAGAUUCCCAUCGACAAAUCAUCAUACUCUCAAGAGAGUUCUGAUGUCCCUGUCUGUUUUAUCGUCACUUGCAUUAACAAAUUUAUUUAAAUUAAUUAAAUCAAAUUACAAAAUAUUGUAUUUCAGCGAAAGGAAUCAAGUUCAAUAAAUUUAUAGCCAAAAAUAAAUAAAUAACAAAUUCAAAAAUAGGAAGGAACAAAAUCAGGUUUAACGCCUCGGAACCUCAGAUUAAUAUUCGUUUCAUAGUGAAAUACUCGAAGUAUAUUUAACACCAUCAUCGGCGGAGGCUUAUUUCAGUGUAAGAUUUUAAUCAAACAAGAAAAUGAGAAUUCCAAGAAAAAAAUAAAACCUAAAUUAAAAACCGACAUUGAAAUUAAAAUGUGAAUUAAUCAACAAAUAUAUUGACAAUCAAGAAGAAGAGAUUAUCGACUUAACAGUGAAACGAAUUUCGUUUCAGCUCAACAUCAUGGCGACGGCUGUGAUUUGUAGUUAUAUAUAUAGCAGUUUGCAUUUGAAGAGUUGGGGACUCGGGCUAGGGUUUAAGAAUGGAUCACAAAUAUUUGCAAAUACACCCCUGUAGGCUGUUCUUUUCGCUUAAAUGCCUAGAGGCUAAGGGCAUAUUUAGCAAAGUUUAUAAUUGCUUAUGAGUCGAUCAAACUAUGACAUUGUUUAGAAAAAUCUCCCAACAACUUAUUUUGGCAAAAAUGCCUAAUGUAAUGCUACUAUUAUUAACAACAAUAGGGGUACCUCUUGUUUUCUGGCCUGAUGGAACACAUCCCGGGAUUAACCUCUCUCAUGAUACUCCAAGAAUGGAACGGUGAAAGAUCCUUAAGGUUGGAGUUCAACCUUUAAUAAUAGGGUAGUUAUACUAAUAUCACAUUUUUCAUAGCAACCUCAUUAUUAAUCAUCUAUUAGUUAGCAAAUCGUGUCCCCAUUUAUAAUUUUUGUCCAAAAUUUCAGUUUAUUUGCUCUAGAAUGAGAGACAAAUAUUUAGCCACAGAUUUAUAUUUAUUGUAUUUUUUGUUUAUUUAAGAAUACCAUUGAUAAGUAAGUGUUUUUCUAUCUUAUAACGAAUUUAUUGGAAGUGUAUCGUCAUUAGGGAUAAUAUGUUAGGUAUUUACACUGUUUGGUGGGGAUUAUUUUAAUAUAUGUCAAAGUCAACAAUUAAUUUUAAUUACAUAUUUUAUGGGACUCACAAUUUUUCUACCAUAUAUUUCAUUAACUUUUAUCAAAAUAUACUAAAAAUCUAUUUUAAUUCUCACCAAAUAGGGGCUUAAUGUUCUUUUCCCCAAUGAUUGUUUAAUCUUUGUAUGACAGACUUCUAAAUCUCUUUCGUUGACAUAUAAAUCGCAGGUCAAUGGAUAAUCUAAAGAAACUAUAGAGGAUGAAUUGCAAGUACUUAUGCAUCAAUUGUUCAGCAACUAAAAUAUUGCGUAUUUUUUAGUCGCUUCAGAUUCCUUUGGUGAAGAAUAUGAUCAAAAAUGGUGUUCAAGAAUACUAUUAUUAAUGAUUUUUUAGAAUAUCUAAUGUUUAUAUUAAGUUUCGAUUCAUUAAAAUGUUCAUUUUAACGUACCAGAUAUGAUUUUGAAGGACGACUUUUUACAUAGUGAUUAUCAUGUACUACAAAGCUUUACCAAACUAAAAAUGAUAUUGAGCAACACACAUAAAAAAGAGAAAUAUUUGAAAAUUAAAGUGUAAAUUCGGUUUCAGGUUCAUCCCAAAAAUGAAUUUGAGCAAAGAAAACGGUUUGGACCAAACGACAUACUAUACACAUGAGAACGUAGCAUUCCAGAGAAUUUUUCUUGUCGAACUCUUGUCUGGAUUAAGCAUGAGGAACUCUACAAACACUCAGCAAUGGUCCAAAUCUUGUGAUCAUGACUGACUGAACGAUUGAAGCAACUACGACACAAGUACUCCAGCUCAAUAUUUUCAUUUACAUGAAUACCGAUCAUGAUUAUACUCGAGACUCCAAAUCAUUAGAAGGGCUUAAUAAGGAGAAGAAAUAUCUAUUCUAGACCAACGUAUACCAUCUGCCACCGCACAUUGGGCAGCCAUGUACCCAGUGGCUGAUCCACCAUUUUACUUUCAUGUUUUGAUUAACACUACUAGAACCAGAAGAAGCAAAAGCUGAAGUUUGCCGCAAACAUCUUAUGCACUGCAAGAAGCAAAAAUUGUAUAGGAUAGAGAACAUUCAAGACAAUCUAGAAGUCAUGGAGGAAAAGCAAAAUAUCAAAUUCAUUACCAAAUGAAAUGGUAACUUGUACCAGACUUCUCCAAUCUCUCUUUUCCACAAAGCUGUCACCACAUCUCUUUGGGAACCUCUUAGGCGCGAUGAAGUGCUCAAUCCACGAGCUACAUUUCUUUCAGACAUCUUACGUUUCUUGGACCACAUGUCAUGAGCUCCAUAAUGAAUAUCCGAUAAGCUGUUAGAUUCAUCUGCAACACUUGCAUCCUCUGGAUCAGACCGAAGUUCCAUAAUCCUCCUUUGCCAUUCUUCACUUGGAGAAUGGAUUUCCAACUUCCGUAGAAGCAACCUUUCAGCGUCUGCAUCUGUAGGCAGGGUUAUGCCCUGCACGAAAAAUAUGUUAAUAAAUGGAAAGGACAUGCAUUUAUGUCUUAGAUUUCAUUUUAAGUGCGAUAUCAAUUUAGUCACGGUUGCUAAGCUAAUAGUACAUAACUGAAAGCAGACAACUUCAUCAAGAGAUAAGUACCUGCGUACGAGAGUCAUAUAAUGCAAUCUCUGGCAAAUCAAUGCAGUUUCCUUCAAUAUAAUGAAGACAAACCUUGAUGUUCCUGUGUCCAACUUGAGAAGCUGGCAAUGGAUGUGACAUCAAUUCCAUCCACUCACAAAGCUGUCGGAGUAUGAGAAAAAGGACCUUCACCUGGAUAAUCCAACAAUCACCUAAGAAUAUGAGGAAGAGACUUUCCUAAUUACAGCUCAAUAUCCACAUGGAAAGGGAAAAACGCAGUUCACGUGUAACUUGAACGAGUUGAUCACUUCUUAAGAGAAGAUGUCACAAGCCUACGCCGUUUUCAUGCAAUACAGAUAGCACUUACCUAAUUUUUUUUAGUAUUAUUUAGAUAACUCAAAUGUGCAAGUAAUGACUCAAAUUUAUUGAUUCUUCAUGUUUACGUAAAUAAGAUAUUUAUAAAAAAUAUGUUGCCGUAUUUAUUGAUGCAUUAGUAGCUCAACUUUGCUUUUCCACCUAGAUACAGCUGUGAAACUGUCUUGAUAUUGCUUUUGCUACCAAAUACUAGUGAUCCUGGAAAACUAAAUGUCGAAGAUAACAGUUCAAGUAAAAAUUAAAUGUUACAAUGUUGAAUAUUCUGCUGUCUUAGACAUAACGAGAUGUCAAGGAAUACACAUGCACUAGUUUUGAGCACCUCUCCUCAGAGAUUUGAAGAGAGAUCAUUUUACCUCCUGUCAAGCCAGAAGGUUCUUUUAUUUUUUUUCUGAUGAGAGAUUUGAAGAGAGGUCAUGUUACCUCCUUACAGGUAUAUCCUCGACCAGCAUAGCCAAAACCAGAUUCAGGCAGCGCUAGAUUGUCCAUUCUGCGAUAUAGAAAAUUCUCCACAGAUCCCAAUGUUGAAUUCUUCAUUCUGUGACUGAAAGGACCCCUUAAGGAUCAGAAAGGGACAUGUAACGCCGUGCACAACCCACAUAACAGAACAAUGCUCAAACCAAUCUUUGAAGGGUAAAACAAUCAAUAUGCGAGAGCUCGAGAAAAAAGACAAGUACUUGUCAAUACCUUCAGCUAUCACAACAUCUAUCACUGAACUGCCACAUGCUGGUUCAAAGGCAAUAGCAUUGAGCCCUGUUGGGGUUUUGAUACCUAAUAAAUACUGGGCUAUAAUGUUAACGUGGAUUAAUUAUUUCAUAGGCAAAGGCCGAUGAAUGAAAUAAAUCCAACAACCAAAUCCAUGAGCUCCACCCGGCCCAAUUGUAUUCCAUCUUGGAUGACUUCAAUCUUGACCCGUUUAAACCUCUUAAAGGUCCAAUUUAAAACCUAACCCUAGAGUAUAUAUAAAGCUAUAACCCUAGGUACUUUCUUGUAUGAUUUGUGUGGUUUUGUGAGAAAAAUAGAAGAAUCCCGAUUGCCCCCUUGGGUGUGUGAAAAACAGUUCCAAGAAGUGUCCAAAACGUUUGUUUACUUUGUGUAAUUGGUGGUUCCUUCAUAACCUACCUUUGUGGUGUCUUCUCCUAGCCCUUGCGGUCACAAAUCAUCACAUUUUCUUGUCCUACGUGGGUAAGAUUGAAAAGCAACCAAAGUGAAUUAUAUUGGUUGUGGUUUGGAAUCGAUUGGAUUGGUUGUUGGUAGAAAAAGGUAUGUUGGACUGAAUCCAAAAAGUACCGAAUUGAAGAUUCUUGGAGAAAGCUUUCACAACAACCCCAAAAUAUCGAGUUGUAGCUAUUGAUAAACUUGGCUACCUUAUGGUCAAAGAAGGUUUAAGGCAACUUGCAAUCAAUGAAAGCCCUUGGAUCAAGAUUAAUCCUAGCCAUUAAUGCCAACUUGCAUACCUUGAGUUUGCCUAUAAAUAAAGGGACUUGGGCCGCACGGUUCUAGUUAUUCAGGUGUAAUGAAACUAGGUCCGUGUCAAGUGAGUGGGAAAAUGAGAUAGACUUCUGGCAAAUAAGGUCUAAGCUUCGGCGGUACAUGACGAUGAGGGCGUCGCCAAAUUUAGCGCGGAGCAAGCUAGCCCCUAUGUUGGUCGGGUGGAAGAGGGCAUUUCCAUUGCGAAGGUUGGGCCGUAGCCUCAGGAUUCACACGUGCAAAAAAGUUUGAAACUUUUGAACAAUGAAUAGCUACCAUAUUGCCAUAAUCUUGCUCCGUGUGUUUCAUCCCUCGCUUUUUUUCUAAUAAGAAAAACUCCUGCCAGCCAAACAAGUAUGCAGCGGGAGGGGCAAAACCAUCCCAAGGAGGAGAGUUAAGUGACGAGCCUUAGGGGUAUCUUGAAAACUUUUUCUAAGGCCAGGAGUAACCUCCCAAAUGACAACAGUCAAUGUGUUUGCAAUUGGAACACCAGCCACAUGCAAAGCACCAGAAUCUGUAACAAUUGCAUCAGCAGCCUUAAUCCCACUAGGUUCUGCUAUCAAUAGAACAUUACUUGUGCAAAACCAUUUUGUUCGUCCACCACUCUGAUUAGGAGGCCAUUGGGACCAAUGGAGCUGAACAGAGCCCGAGGAGAAAACAGAGCGCACACAGAAAUUUGGCCAACCAGUUGUUAAAAAAAAAAUCAAAUUGCAUUAGUUAAUGAGACUUAAUCAGAUGUUAACAUCUGCUGAAAGAUGAUUCAUGGGAUCAAAAAUCAAAUAUAAUUAUCGUCAGUUAAUUACAAACAGACAGUACCCACGGAAAACUAUGAGCAAAGCACGGGGAGAGGAAGUAGGUGACCACUCAAUAUAGUGAACACCAUCAUCGUGAGAAUCUGUUGAAACAUCGAAAAUCAUAGAUGAUAAUUCAAAAAUAAUACAAAAACCUAGUAGUAAAUCAUCAUGAAAAAUGAUGAAAACUACAUUAAAAGAAAAGAAAAGAAAAUAAAAUCAAGCUAGCUAAUAGUGUAUUACACCACCAUGUCAAGUAACUUGUCUUCUGUUUGAAGUCAUCAAUUUUACAAUCAGUUAUUAUCACAAAUUUCCUCCUAAUUUUCAUCUACACAUAAUACUAAACAUCAUAAUCAUCCUUGCAUUACAAAUGCUUAAAUUUAACAGGCCUUCUUAUAUAUGCAGAAUGCAUUUAGAUUAGGCUGGUUAAAGCAAGGCAGCUGUUAGCCUAAAAAAAAAUUGCAAAACACGAGAUGUCAAAUAAAGUAAAAGCACCCAUUCUAGACUUUUUCUUACCCACAUGAAGAAUCAUUAAGAAAAUUGUACAAUAGCACAUUCUUUUGGACUCUAGACAAAUUGCACAACGCCGUACAAUAUUAGCAUCAAUUUGUAGAAGAUACCUGCUUUAACAUUGUGAAUAAUUGUACUUUCCGUCAGCCUCUCUGGAUUCAGUAUAUAUAUAUAUAUAGGAAGAAAUGAAUCUGGCAUUGAUUAUGUAUUGAACAUUCAAUGGCAAAAAAUAGAUAAAUAAUAUUGACUUCUGCAACUAGUAGACAGCACGUAUAGAGUACAAACUAGUGAUAAUAUCGAUAAUCAUUUUCGUUUGAAAAAACAUGCAACUUAAACAAAUUAUUUUAGAGCCUUUGACUUGUUAAGGGAAUAAAUCCAGGGUAAAUAUCAAAAUAUUGAACAACUUAAAUAGAUCUUGGACCAAUCCACAUUAUUAAGAUGGACCACAAGUCUUUAACAACUUUGGUUAUCAAAACAUUACACUUCCAUUUGAUUCCAUUUCGAGUUGAAGAGGUUCCAAAGCCUUCGAAAAUAAACGAAAUGUAAGUGUAAAAUGGUCAUGCCAAAAUCAAGAAAAGGAUUAUUAAAGUUUGAUCCAUGAACCUUGAGGCUGUUGCACAAGUUUCUGCUGCACAUGUAUAUGUGCGCACGCGCGCGAAAAAAAUCCUAAUAAGAAAAAGAAAAAGAAAAAUGCUGGAACUCCAGGGAUUAAAUCGUGGGAUUGGCUCCAUGGCCGAGGUGGCGUGACCUCGGCCCCUGAUUUGAAUUCGGCGGGCUCCAUGUGAUGCAACAUCGAGGUCCGAGGUGAGCCAAACCCGGGAUUUAAUCCGGGCUCUGAAGCUUCCCUGUGAUAAAAAUGGGGAGGGCGUUGACUAAAAUGACGUAAGAGAGCAGAUACAUGCUUUCGACACUGGGCUUAGUGAUUUGUGUAUUGGGCCAUUGGAUUAGUUUGUUGGGUCUUUUGGAAAGAAGAUAAGUAGGCCAAAUAAUUAGAUCGUUUUGUGGGUUAAGUCUUGGACAAGAAAUUAGGCCUACCAUAUCGGACCUAAAGAUGAUUCUAUAUCUUUGGUAACAAUUAUACGAUAAUACUAUUUAGCAUCAUUGAUAUUACAAUUCAUUUAAACGUCACUACGAUAUACAAUUAAAUAAGUCACAUAUUUUUUUAGCAUAUCACAGUAUCAUUGAUGUUGUAGCACCAACUUUGCUAGAUGAAGAUUAUUUAAUAAUUAAAUGUGCCAAAAUGUCUGGGUCCUGCCCUAUUAGAAAUUUGGGGCCAUUUUCUACCUGAACCUGCUCUUAUUUAUUUAAAAAUAAAAAAUAAAUUCAAACGAUAAAUGAGAAAUAGAAAUAUUUUAAUAGUGUCUUGUCCAUCGGAUAAUAAGGGUUCAUUUGAUUGAUGACAUGUACUAUUUAUGGCGGUCAUGAUAUCAUAUCUAAAAUUUGUGUAAUGGGUAGAAGAAUUAAAGCUCACUGUACAGAUAAAAUGUACACGAAUUUUUACUGAUAAUGAGGUGGCAACAUUAAAUUGAUUACUUUGAAGUUUUUGUUAAAUGUUCAGUGAAAUUAUGCAAUCUGUCAAAUUGUUUGGCAAAAAAUUCUAUACAUGUAGCAUGAUUGGACAGAAAAGGAUGGCGACAAAAUUUAGCAGCAUAAAGUUUUUUGUGCAUGGAUGGCGAAUAUUUUUUCGAAAUUUGUUAUUUGUACACAUGUGUACACGCCCCCUCACAAGAAGGGAGGCCCGCCUAUUUUUUAUGGAAUGGUUACAAUUCAAUUGUCCAUACCCUGCCAGCCAGCCUACUCUGGAACUAAAUUAUUUGAAAACACAAACAUUAGAUUUAGCACGUGUGGCAAGGAGUGUUUACAUGUAUGUAUGGAGAAAUUGUAACACCAACUUCAAUUUAUGGUAUUCUUGCAAACGGGUCAACAAAUUUAUUUUUUUGAACAAAUAGUUACUCAACUUCUUAAAGUUAUGACACCAUAAUUCUCGAUUUACAGUUUCUAUCGAUUUUACUGACUAAUUUUAUCAUAAUGUUUAAAUACAAAUAAUUUGAAUGAAAAGAUGAAAAAUAAGAAAAAGAGAAAGAAUAGAAAUUCUUAACUUCACUACGCAAUCAUGUUCUCGCCUGCUAAACGUGCCACUGUCAACUUCUUUUCCCACCACUUCGAGUAUGAGAAAGUCUGCUGGUAGAAAUUCUUUAGGAUGCAUUACAAUUUUUCACUAAAGGGGUAAGUCGAAACGAUUGCAACAUUGAUUUGAAGUGAAACCCUCAUUAGUCAAUGGAGAAAUCCAUUACACAAUAUCUUUGACUUGUAAACAGCAAGAUAGGCUAACUUUGUUCCUGAAGCACUUACCUAAAAAGGAUACCAACCACAUACAUGUAGUUUGAGAUCACAUCCAAUGUUCUCUAAUUUCAAUUUUCGUCCCAAAUUAUUGGUUCUAUCUCCCACACCACUCUCAUCUUUCCCAACGUGAAGUAACAUAAAGAUAAAAUCGUCUUUUCAAUUAAAAUUAAUAUAAAAUCGAAAUCAUUGAAGAUUGAGGACUCAUUUAUACAAAAUUCAUAAAUUGAAGAUUCCCAACUCCAGUUUUCCCUACAUAAAGGGAAAAGGCAAAAGAAAAAUAAAAAAGCAUAAUGGCAAAUUGAAAAUGCCAAAAGCACUUAUGGAACUCUUUGCAGAUGGCAUUUCUGGACCCCCAUAACAACUAAUAAUUCUUGUACAUAACUUGUGGUUUACAUUUGAUGUAAACAUAAAAAAUAUCUCAAUUGCUUAUCCACUUGCUGCCCUCAUUAACGUAUCCAAUAGUCAUCUGUAUCCAACUUUUUACAAGUUAGUAUUUAUAAAUACUUGACAAUGAAAUGUCUACGUCACGUUGACAAGAUCUCAACUUAGAAAUUUUUCGUGCUUGGACACCAUAUCAAAGGGAAGUUUUAAAUGAAUAGGGGCCGUGACAGGCCCCUAUGACAGGGCGCCCUGUCACGGCCCCUGUCCGUGUAGCGCAACCCCAUAUUAAAAUCAUUCACUAACAUGUUUAAACGAUCAGAGAAAUGUUCUUUCAUAUUAAUAUAGUUCUUCAUGUUUAGUCUAAUAGGUGCAAAAGAUCGCCUUCAUUUAAAUUUUGUGUUCAACUGAAAGGAACGACUUACAUAUAGAAUAUUACACAUCGAAGUUCUCAAUUUUGAUGCAGAAGGGGAAAAAAGAAAAAGAAAAAGACAGCUUCUCAAACAAAUUUUCAGCACUUGAGUUACACUGAUUGCAUGUAAUUCAAUGUCUCGCUCUUGAUCUCCCCUUCUAUCAGUGUUUCUCUACAAAUAUAUGUACAUUUAUAACACAGUCGUCAAUGGAACGAAGUACCUCCUUAUACUUAAAAGACAAAUAACAACUAGUUUUCACAAUGGUUUAUUCAAGGAUGCCCCUCAUGCCCAAGGCCUUUCAGGAGAAACUAACUUUAAGCUUCAUUUCUGUUGCUAGCAUUCAGAGGAAGUAGAUGUAAGGCUUGGUAACAAGUAAGAAAUUACUCGUUGGAGAAGCCGAUAAGUGGUUAAAAUAUCACUUCAGGCACUCUCCUGGAAGCCAAUGGACCUAGAUAAUGCUGCAGGGUUCGCAUGCAUUACAGGGGAAGCAGUAGCCACAGGUUUCUUUUUGUCAAAUUUUGGCUGCAAGGCCUUAAAAAGGCCUUCUCUUGUUACAGAAUCAUACUUGAUCCCAAGCGUUGCCCAUAUUGGACUCUUUGCAGCUUCAUCAGGAUUAUCAAUCCGUAAAGUUUUUGGGAUUACAAUAGAACUUUCUGAAUUCUUCUCUACUAUACAUUCUUUACUCUCCGGCUUGUUUGGCACGAGCAAUUCCCCAUCCCUUGAAUGCUUGCCCAAUGGUGAGUCGGGACUGGAGCCCAAUGCCUUUUGACUUGGUGUAGGCGACUGUAACGAUAACCAUGUAACGUUCCAAUAAGGUGUAGGGUAGAAUGGCAUGGGAAAUCCUGCAGGGUAGAUUGGUGGCACUGGAACUGCAGAACCCCAGGGUACAGGCCAAGGAACCUCUGGAAGACACGGAACUGGAUACGGAAACCCAUUAAUAUUUUGCACAAUGGGCUCGAGGGAUCCAUUCUUGCCUCCCUCUAUCGUUGACUUUGAUGUUGUGACGGCCAAUCCACUAUAAUAAUCAUCACCAUUCUCGACAAUUUUGCAAGGAAUCGGGGUCUCUUGAUCAGUUAUAUAAUAACCAUUUCGAAUACCUUUUGGUACUUCUAUCUCUGAAAGAUUCAGAACAGAAGCCAUCGAUUCACAAACUUGAGAGUCGGGAGUGAAGGACAGAACAGUGCCAUUAGGUCUAAAUGUUGAGUGAUUGAAUCCAUUUGGACUGUCAAUUCUAGAUGCUUGAAGGGCUUCAGGGAUUGUAAUAUGAUGACAAUAAGAGGCAGAAUUCUUGUUCUUGCGUCUACCAGCACCCACUGGCACAUUCCUCAUAUUACCACCAGCUGUCCAAUAUCUUUGACAACUCCUGCAGAAAUGGCGAGGCUGAUUGAUGUUGUAAUUGUUGUAGUAACAGAACUUUGUAUCCAUGCUUUUACAGCGAGGACAUGGAAGGAUUUUGUCAGGCUUUUUCAGUUUUUUGUGCUGUGAAUUAGUUUCAUCACUUUGAUCAUUCUCACUUUUAGGAGGAUGUACUGAUGCAACAUCUUCAUCAAUGUGGGGAGUUUUUGGAUCAUCAAAUUCCAAUGAAGGAUUAGAGUUUAGGGAUUCCCCUGAAGCUGGAGGCUGGUCCUUUUCUUGUGGUUUUGAUUCACAACACUGUCGUGCUAAUCCGUCCUAGAAUUGCAAAAAUAAAUUCCCAUGAGUUGGAUCUAUAGUCAUUUCAGACUAAAACGCCUAUAAGUAAUUGGCAAUACAGUAAAUCAUUCGCCACGAAACAGUAAACAAGAUUAAAUCAGUGGGAGAAAGAUCUUUCUCCAAUUUUCUUCUAAUAUAGCUAUAAACCAUUAUGGUAGGGAAGAUUGCACAGUAGUGAUAGAGAUGAAGGAAAAAGGAACUAAAAUCUCGUUCAUUGCAGUGUUGAGUCGUGUCUAAUACUGAGUACCAAACAUGCACUAAAAGGACAACAUCACUAAACUAUGUCUUGUAGAUUACAUAUAGCAUACAGCAAUUCUUGAAAACAAGUACCAGAGCUUGAUCAAGCUUCUGUUUGAUAUUACUGCGAAUCCCGACCCUACUGUAUACUUGAAACCAGAAAAUUGGAGAAAGUAGAACCUUUGAGGCUCAUGUUGACGGUUGACCCCAAAAACCGGAAAUCAGAAAACUGAUUCUUAUUCUGCAUUCAAUUUCAGGUUGAUCAAAAAUAUGAAAAAAAAAAAAAAAAUCAACUUAUAGAUUCAAAUUCUGAGUCCAGUAGACAGAUGAGUGUAUAAGCUACUCAAGAGCUCCUUCGAUUUCAUAAAUUAGAUUUGAAAUUUUCUUAGUCUUACACAAUCAAAUUAUGAACUACACAAUUAUAAGAAUUUAGGAUAUUAAUUUUUAAAUGAAAUUAAACAAUUCAAGAAUCCAAAACACCCAUUAAAAUCCAGAUUCUAAAUACCCUGGUAGUCCAAAAACCACCAAAAUUUCUCUGGAAAAAGUGACAAUGAGGGCAAAAAACUCAGAAAAGUAAAACUACAAUGACCUCUUCAAUCUGCUGUUUUUCUUCAUCAGCAUCUGCUUUUUCUGCAUCUUCUUCUUGGUCGACUCUGCUCACUUCAUUAUCAUUUAAACAGAACCUAUUAUCGGACCCACCACAAUUUUCAUCAUCAAUCUGGUCGGAAGACUCGCCGCCGGCGACCACGGCAACCUUUUUCCCGUUCCGCAGCACAAUCUUCAUCCCAAAUAGUUUUAUCUCCGGUUGCUUUACUUCAACCAUUUCUUCCCAAAAAAAAGAAAAAAAAAAACACUUCGAAAUGGCAACAACAAAGGCUUUGUUGGCAGUGCUAAGCAGUGAUUUUGAUCCUGCUAAUAAGAUAUAUAAUUAAACAAAACAGCUCAAAAAAAAAAAAAGAUUAAACCCAACUUUGAGGGCCCAAUCGCCCCGUCCUUAGAGUCUUGUGAGGAAAGUAAAUUUCGGGAUGUGCUCCUGUAGGUCAGGGAACAAGAGCUGUCUGUACACUACGCUUAUAAGAAGUCCAAUUUUAUAUCUUAGAAAUCGAACCCCCACACUGCGACUGCUUGCAUUAAAAAAAAAAAAAAAAAAAAAAGAUUAAACCCAACUUUGAGGGCCCAAUCGCCCCGUCCUUAGAGUCUUGUGAGGAAAGUAAAUUUCGGGAUGUGCUCCUGUAGGUCAGGGAACAAGAGCUGUCUGUACACUACGCUUAUAAGAAGUCCAAUUUUAUAUCUUAGAAAUCGAACCCCCACACUGCGACUGCUUGCAAGACGUAAAAAAAUCUCAUUCCUAUUCUUUGCAUCACUGGACUAUACCCGCGGCAAAGAUAAGUAGAUUCUUGGAUGCACGAAGCGUGGAAGCUACCUAUUUUGUGCUCGCCAGUUGGGGGUGGACCAAAAUUUAUGUAACUAACGUUAACUGUCUAUUAUGUGGAGAGAGGUGAUUGGUUGGAGUAGGAUAAGCGUUGUACCUUUUGAUGAUUUGUCUGAAUUUGACGGCUCUGAUGUUACUCGAGAGUCUUAAUACUUUUAAGCCCAUGUUUGAUUCCCAUUACUUGGUAAUGAAAAUGGGUGGAAUAGUAUUUUUUUGAAAAAUAAGUGGUUAAAAAAGAGGGAAAAAUUUUUGAUUUACGUGUAAUAUUAUUUUAUGGAAGAUUGUAUGGUUGAAAAUAGGAGAGAGAAAAAUAGAAUGUAAUGUAAUGUAAUUUAAUAGGGGCCAAACGGGGGCUAAGUAACUAUCUCCAAUUCAAUUGAAGCAUUGGACCAAUAUUAUUGUUUCAAAAGUUUCUCAAACACUUAUUUUUGACCGUACGUUUACACCAUAAAAUAUUUUAUAUGUAAAUUCAAAAUUAAUUUACGUAAAUCCAAAGGUUUUUCUAUUUUUUAACAGCAUAUUCUCCAAAAAUUUCUAUUCAACACAUCACUUUCUUUCAAUUUCUCUUUAUAAUGACUAUCAAACAUGGAAUAAAUUAUUUUUGAAAUUAGUCUUUUUAUCUUGAGAAAAAAUAUCAAAAAGGCCGUAAGACAAAAUAAAUUAGUGUAUGUUUGAGAAGAGAUUAAAUUAUAAGUUAAAUAUAUUUCUUAUCCUCUUAUUUCAUGAGUAUUCAAAUUAUAUUAUUCACGCAUAACAUAUUAAUCGAUUAACCCCCUUCUUGAAUUUUAAUUAAACUUUUCUUGAAUUACGUCUAUACAUCAAACUUACUUUGACGGACUUCAGAGUAUGAACCGGACAACAUAAAUAAAUAAAUAAAUAAAAAUUCACAUUUCAAACUUUCACAAUGGAUAUAUAUCGUCUACUAUGUCAGUCAAUUACAUUGCGUAUGUACAUAGAUAAGGAGAGUUGAAUAUAUCAUUAUCAUGAUGUAAAGAAAUUAAAAAGAACUUUUGAUUAAUAUCCUAAAGUUUUGAUUUUUGGUAUUGAUUAAUCACUAAUCUACUUCGAAAGAGACAUUUUAUAUUUUUAAUAAUGUUUUAAAUGCGUGACGGUCAUAUGGUCGGUUAUUACGUGGUUAUAGGACAAAUUUUGAUUUAGAUGUGUAUUGAUUGUCUCCUAGUAAUUAAUUAGAGGAUACCUACUGCUGAUUUGAAAUACAAGAAUGAUAUGUCAAGAUUUUAUACUUGACUUGGUCUUACUCAAAGGGGCUUAUAGUUCCAACUUUUUUUUUUUUUUUUUUCUAAUUCAAUUCUUUGCUAAUUAAUUGACAAUAUACUUGUCCAAUUACAUCUAGUAAAAGCUUGAAUAUAAGAGAGGACAUAACUUAUUUACUAAAGAGAAUGAAAAAAAAAACUAUCUAUUUAAAUUAUGUCUUCUACACGUCCCUUCACGUACAUGUCAGAUUCAUAAACUUAACCGGUACACAUUUUUCAGUACUUCAUAACAAAGAUUUAGUUAAAGGGUCCCUUAAGAAGUUUCAACUUACAAAGUAAAUAUCCGUCUCGUUCAAAAUCCCUCCGCCUCCGGAGGCAUAAAUUACUCUAUUAUUUAGUAUGACAUCUUUCAGUUAGAGAUGGAUCAAGAAAAACAGGAGCCCUUGAAAAUCCCCAUCUUAUACCCUGAAUUCAAUUUGAAUUAUGCUAAGCCAAACUCAUGUAACAUAUAAAGAAAUGGGUCGAUAUACAAAACUCUUUAGACUAUAUAUUAUGUUGGACGAGAUCGUACUUGGCAAGAAUAAGAAAGGAGAACAAGUCAAAAAUUUGGGCGUUGUCCCAAGAAGUUGAUUAUUACCUACUAUAACGGGGACAGGGCGGCCAUUAAAUAACCUCCCAUUAGGCAUCCCAUCGCCAAAGUCGAUACCACACCAAGGGCAAGGGAGUCUUGCCCGAGCAAGAUUUUUCGACAAGUAAUUAUUGCUCCCAACAUCGGAAAGAGAAUCCCCCAAAGAUAAACUGCACUAUUUUGCAAUUGUAUCUAUUGAUCAAAAAUGCAAAAAUGGUCAUGACAUCGCCAAUGACAAUGCUGUCAACUUCAUGUUAAUCUCCACAUAUGACUAUGAUAUUCUCAGGCUUUUCAACACAAACAACUGAAAGAAAGAGCGGUUGCUUCGGUCUUAAAAUGGCAAAAAGAGAUAGAAAAAAUGAAAGGGUUUUGCAAGAAUCAACUGAAGUAGGCAAUAUUUGGUGAAAGAAGCAAUGUUUUCUGCCACAGGUAGAUAUUCUUGAACUGCUUACACGUACAUAAAGCACUGGGGUGAACAAAGUGCAGGAUCAACGUUAAGGAUAACCGUUUGUCGCAACUUCCAUGUCUAAAUUCUUCCUUCCAAACGGUUUGGCCAGGUCUAAAAAAUAAGUGAUUUUAAGCAUUUUCUUUAUCUUUUUGGUUAACUAUUUCAUUGAAAAAUUCUAACUAUUAGAGAGGGACCAAUUAUACAUUUAGACUGUGCCUUCAACAUGCCUCUCACGUGAGACUAAUUUCAUUUUACCAUCAAUAGCACGUGUUCAAUUUUUACUAGAUAGCUGACGGAUACCGAGUUAACCUUUUAUUUAGAUAUUCAUUUAAACCAUGUCUUUUACCAAAGAUGUUCCGUCAAGUUGCUCCUUCUGUUUUAUUAUUAUUAUUAUUAUUAUUAUUAUUAUUAUUAUUUGGGCAAAGAAGUUAUAUUUUUUGAGCAUGUUUGGUAGUGAUUUUUCUCUCCAAAAAAUCAAUUUUUUGAUCGUUAUUUCACUAUUCCAGUCGUCAUUUUUUACUUCUUUUCUCAUAAAUAGAACCCACUUUUCUCUCUAAUGGUAAAAAAAUCAAUUUUCAAAAUCAAUAUCGAACAAGUCCUUAUAAACAUAGCCAGCUCAAAGAUUAGGAGAUUUAGGUCGUCGUGUAAGCCCCGAUUUAUGAAGGCUCCCAAUUUUUAAAUUUACAUAUUUACAUAUUUUUGCCAUUUUUGUGAUGAAAAUUAUGUCAUUAAUUAAUAACAUUAAAAAAUUAAGAUUAUAAAGUUUUUUAGUUAAUAUAAAAAACAUAAAUAUUUUAACAAAUUUAAUCUACUAAAAUAUAUUCCAUAAGAAAAAUAUAUAAAUUAAAUAGUGCUUUUGAACUCGCCUGCCUUUUUCCUUGAGAACAGCUUCCAGAGAAGAGUGUUAUAGUAGAUAGAUAAUUAUUUACAUGGGUUUUGCCAUUCAAAUAGGGCCUAAUGAUAAGCCCUAUUGAUAGCGGCCCUCGGCCCUUGAUUUGAAUCUUAUUUGGCCCUGUCUCUGUAAUAGGGUUCUAUUUACAUUAAUGCAAUCUAUCAUAGGCGCUGGUGAACCACCGAAAGCAAAAGUUAUGAAGCUUGGGAAGUGGCACCUAUAUCUUAACCUGGCUUAACAGCUAAGAAACCCAUAGAUGAACACUAAGGAAUAUUAUUUGUAAGACAAACAUAAAAGUGUAUUCCAUUAUUAAUGUUGUAUUUCUUGUAGUCAUAAUUCUUCCAUAUAAAUAUGGGGUUUUGGCUCUUAAUAAAACGCACUAGUUUAUUGGAUUCUAUUUUUUGUUCUCUCUUUUUUCACUAGUUUAUAAUCCUUUAUCAGCACAAGUCUUUCAAAAUCAAAUUGAAUUAGUUAGAAGGCAAUUUUUUAUAAACAUAAUCAUCUAUCACAUGUAUCAAAAUUAAUUUAGUAAUAUGUGAAUUUCUUUCAACAUACAUGUGCAUCAUAAUGAGGUUGCUUCAUUAUCUUUUCGUCUUGUUUGUAUGCAUAUUAAUUCUAAUUUACGUUUGUAUGUAUAAUCUAUACACAUUAAUUAAUGAUUUAUUAAGUAAAUUCAUACUUUACAUCAAUUCAUGACUUUUGAUUCAUGCACAAUCAAUUCUGUCACAUAUUAUUCACGUAUUAAUUCUACAUUUUGAUUCUACCACAUAUUAGUUCCACCUUUAAUUUUACCUUAAAUUUUUGUAUAUAUAGGAUUUACAUGCAUAAUUGGUAUCUUUUGCAUGUUGGUUAAAAAUUUAGCUAAUAAAAUAUUUAGUCAAUUUUGUUAACUUGUAUAUAUGAAGAUUAUUUUUCCUAAUGUAUGUUUGGUAAUGAAUUUUUAUAUAUAAAUUCAUAUCCUAUCUGUUUGGUAAUUAAUUUUUAUAUCAUAUUAUUUUUGUAUGGUAACUAAUAUUUUUAACCUAAUUAAAUAUUUUUAAAUGCUCCUUUAUAAAUAUUAAAUUGAUAAUUCAUCCUUUUGAUUUUUUGAAGUAACAUGAUAUUAUAAUUAAUAUUCCAAAAAAAUAUUAUUUGCUCCUGAAAAAAAUAAAUUAUAAUUUUCAAUAUUCUUUUUAUUGACAUGUUGCUCCUAAAGAAUCAUAACUUCAUAAAUAUUAUAUUCUCAUAGAAAAUAUACUCCUAAAACAUAAUAUCUUUUAAAUAAUAAUUUGUUGUUGUUCCUGAAAUAGCACAUUAUAAUUUAUGUUUAGGUUAUAUUUUACUUGCUCCAUAAGAGCACAAUUAAAAAUUAUGUUUCUAAUCUUGAAAGGUAAAUUUUUAUACAAUUUAUUAUUUUAAAUAAUAAUAUGUUAUUGUUCCUAAAGAGUAUGUCACUAUGAUUUCGAUAUUCCACAAAAAUAUUGAUAUAUUGCUCUUGAAGAAGCGAUGAUAAAAUACAAUAUGUUUUCUAAGUAACACGUGCUUUAAAAAUAUAUCAUUUUUACAUUCGUGUUUAUUCUUAAAGGAAAACAUAUAACUCACACGCAUGUUGACACCGAUUAGUUCGUCUACUUGAUUGAAUAUCAUACGAAUAUGUAAUGUUUAAUCAUAAUCUUCGAAAUUAAAUAACAGAAUUAUAUAUUAUAUUGAACUAGGAGUUCAAUUUGAUCUUCUUAUUUAGCACAAUUAGUUGGAUCAUUACUAGAUAAAUAAUGAUGCGAUAUUAAAAAAUUAAAUGGAUAUUCAAUGAAGAACUUGAAGAUUAUUCAAUCCAGUGAAAUCCUAUAUGAUAUUUUUUUUUUCUUUCAUUAAUUUUUUUAAAUCAAUUAUCAUUAGCUAAAAUUGGUACCAAAAUCAUUCUAUUUUUGAAAAUUCAUCAGGGAGAUAAAUGCAGUUCCAUCAUCCUCUAUGUUGACCAUCUAAAUAUUAUUUAUAUUUAAUUGAUUUGAUACAUAUAUUAGAUAAUUGUAUGGUAUUCGCAAUGUGAAAUUUGUGAAAUUACUGCUCAAAUUUUAAAUUGUAAGCAUAAUUUUCAAAUUAUACAAUUAAAAUGGAGUGUCUUGUUAAUACUAGUGAUUCUAAAUCUCAAACAUUUAAUAAGUGCUAGUUGGGACGUCGAUAAAUGACUCAACACUAUUGCUUGUUUAAUGCCUCUAAUUAAUUUAAUUAAGAAUAAAGUACUUUCCAUUUCUGUAUAGGGAAUGUUACUAUGCAUCAUGCCAACAUCAAGUUCUCCUUAUUAUAAUUGGCUUAUGGUUAGAGCCUGCUUUCUUCAUCUAAAUUUUUAAUAGUACAACAUAUGCACAAUUAAUCCACUACAUUGUAUUGAGAGGAAAAAUAAAAAAUACUGUGAAGAAAUCCGUAGUUUGAACCAUUAUUUCAAAUGAGAGAUAUUUAAUAAUGCAAUUUGUUGAUUGUCAAUUUUAAUUAGACAAUUCUCUUAGCACUAGGGGCAUUAAGAAAUUGAAAGUAAUGUAUAAAUGUAUCAUUAUCUAUAUUCUCAUAAAAAAUCAUUCGAAUUAAAAGUUCGAAAGAUAAUUUAUUUAGAUGUAUUUAUUGACUAAAGAGAUCAAUAAUAUCUCACACAUCAGCUUUAAAUGCUCCAACUCGAACUGACAUCGUAGAGAACAAUUAGUUAAUAUGAUAUUUGAUGCACGGGUGAAGCAUAAUGUUUUUAAUAUAAAAAUCUUCAAACAAAAAUGGAUCAAUUAGUAAAGAUGAUCUUGUUACGUGUUGCCACACUUGGCCAACCCACUGGACCCAUGGCCCACUUAUACCGAACCACGUGGCAUCUUAGCCGAAGCUCCCAGGCCUAAUGAAGUCAACCAAUCUACUUAAACAACACCUAUGACGUGGCCUAAAUGCUGACACCAAAGUGAAUAGGGCGAGCUGGUCUGCCUUGUCGAGGCUCUUCACUUCGAGGCCUUUCUCACUGAGGUCCAGAUGCCCCAAGCAAGGCUUCUCCCCAGAAAUCCGGUCUUACACAAGGAUCAUUCUUGAUUGAUCGAUGGGAUACUCAUCAUAGAGUGUAAAUGUCUUGUCUUCCGCCGUCGAUUAAUAAAUGUGUAGCAGGCUAGGAAGUCAAGUGUGAUAUCUAUAAUUUAACAUGCGAACUUACGAGAUAAGGCCACGUGUAUUCCCAACCGAGGGCCACGAUCUAACUUGUAAUACUAUAAAUACUCCCCCAUGUAUUUCUCACGAGGAUAAUGCAAGAUUCAAUACAAGAACUGAGAUUAUACAUUCUUUGCUCUCUUAACACACUUUAUACAACUUUAUAUAACGAUCUGUUUACUGUCUUGCAAUAUAAUACUAUACGAAUUUAUAUUCGCAUUCUACAAAGAUCGAUUGGUAAUUAUUGUACAAUCGUUAUGCAAACAUCGGGCCGGAUUCCAAAUGUUCUCGUCCCGCGCCUUUGAGCUACUCCCACACCCCCUUUAUUGCUAGUUCUAAACCGUCCACGUGUCUUAGCGUGUUGGACUAGGGUCACGUGUGUGUAGGUGGGUCGGGUAUUUGUUGGCAACAUAUUUUGGGGUCAAACCGUCUGUGGAAAACCAUACCAUAACCACGAGUAACCAUGUGAAAAAGCUUACUAAAAGAAGAAUAUUCGAUCAUUCCUUUGGAAAAGGAUUUGUUCUUGGAAAAGAAUAAGCAGAAGUCCCAUAACUUGCAACGUUUUAAAGUUGAAACGCGAAGGAAUGAGUUCGGACGAAGCUAUAUCCCCUAGGAGGGUAAGGGAAAAUGUGGGAAUGUCCCCACCGACAGUUGCCCCUGCAGCUCGGCAUCGACUUCAUCACCACCACAAAAAAGGUGGCAUACGAAUGGUCUCUCAGUUAUCAAAGGAGAUGGCUGCAAUGGCCACAAACAUGAGGGAUAUUGCCAGCCAAAACAAGGCCAUGAGGGAGCUCAUAGCCCAAAUGCAGAGCCAGAGAGGCUUCCCUAUUCCUCCCUAUACACCUCAAGGACAUUAUCGAGAUGAGGAAGUCCAAAGCCAAAGGGCUGUACCACCAGAAUAUAGCCAAGGCAGAAGCCCCAUGGAGAGAGAAGUAGAAGUUGAUGUUUCCUCCACUUAUGUUGCAGGCCGACCCACUGAGGCCCGAUAUAACCAAGACAACUUCCCACCAGCAUAUAAGCCAGAGCAAAGACCUAGGAGGACUAACAGCGUAUUUGACAGAAUCAGCCCCAUAAAAUCGAGGCUCAGGCAACAGCAACAUCCAUGCGAGCCCCAGACUAGGCCACAGCCCCUAUCCCUAAUGACUCACUAGCCGGAGAAAAGGCAUGAAAAUGUCCCUUGUGCUGCUCCGCCUAGAAAUAAGCGCCAAAGGAGAGAAGAUGAGGCUAGGACCCAAGCUAGACCCUCUCAUCAUCCACCCAGAUACGAGGCUGAAGAGAACAAUGACUCAGAUGAGCAGUAGAUGUCCUGUAAGUUAGACGAUGACGAUAAAAAUCUACCAUUUUCAAGGGAACUAAGAAAUGCCCAGGUUUCGAGCCACUAUGUGAUGCCCAAAAUAUCAAAGUAUGAUAGGAAAGGCAACCCGGAGAAACGCCUAAGCAUUUAUAAAACUUAUAUAUGAGUCUUAGAGGCGCCACCUCAGCUGUGAAGUGUAGGGCUUUUCACUUGACACUUAGUGGAGCGGCUAAAAUCUGGUAUAAUCGGCUACCACCUGGGAGCAUAAGGAGUUGGUCAGAAUUCAAGAACACUUUCUUGAAAAGGUUCGCGGUGAGCAGAGAGGGAGAGACCCCUAUCCAACGCCUUCAAGACAUGAGGCAGGCGCAUGGAAAAUCCCUAAAAAGAUUUUUAUCAUGCUUUACUGACGAAAUGACGUAUUGCGUGCAAGUCACCCAUCGGGAGGCUUUAUCAGCCCUAAGAGGAGGUUUGAAUAUGAACACCUUAUUUUGGAGGGACUGCAAAACCAUGACUCCACCACCUAUGACGCCUUAUUGGAAAUGAUGAGGCGAGAUAUUAUCAAUGAGGAAUUGAUUGAACACCGAAAUCGAACUAGCACAGGCCUCCCACCUUAACAGAGACAACGUGCCAGGGGACCAACCUCCUACUUGAUGGACUACCAAAUAAACCCACAUGGUAAUGGAAAUUUAGGGUAAGCACUGGCCACAACCACUUUGAAUGCAGUCCCAACUUUGGCAUAUGAAGAUGUCAACCCAACUACCAUCGACCCCCAAGCAAAAAUUUCACAAUGGGCUCCCCGAAAAGGAAGAGACCGGGGACGUGGUUUGGGGCCUAGGAAUAGGCCUAAUCAAAGCCCCCUGAUCAUUGUACGUACCAUCGCUUCUAUGGUCAUGACACCUCCGAGUGUUGAGAGUAUGUAUACCGCAAUCGACGGGAACACCCUUAAGACAGGAGGAAUGAGUCUUCACAGGAGAACAGGCCCCCACCUAGGAACAACCAGCGACCUAGGAGUAAGGAAGCCGCUUUUCGUCAGCGGGACGUAUCUUCCCGUCGAAGGGAACAUGACGUAGAGAGACCCAGGGAAGGACAUAGGCAUCGUGGAAAUCGCUACGCACAAUAAUAAGCCCCUAUUCACGAGGUGGAUAUCAUAUUUGGAGGCCCCUACGCGGGUGGUGAAAUUAGAAACGUAAAAGGAACUAUGCCUUUCGCUAACUAGUUAUAUCGUGGACAGCAGCUCCCAAAAAAAUCAAGUACCACCCAUCGUCUUCACCAAGAAGACUCCGAAAGAGUUCACUACCCCCACUGUGAUGUACUUGUGGUAAGGGCCGUUGUGGUUCGAAAUGGGCUCAAGCGAAUGCUAGUGGACAAUGGCAAUUUCGUUAACAUCCUGUUUAGGUCCACCUUUGACAAAAUGAUCCUGGACCAUGAGCUGACACCCACCACCACUCCUCUGUAUAGAUUCAAUGGAGAUAGUAUCACUCCGAGAGAAAAAAUAACACUGGCGAUAGAGAUGGGAGAGUCCCCCCAAACCACAGUGAACUUAAUGAAAUUCCUUAUUGUUGAUAGUCGGUCGGCUUAUCAUGGAGUGCUGGGAAGACCGGCCCUGAAAGAGUUAGGAGCUGUCACCUCCAUCCACCAUUUAUGCAUAAAACUCCCAACUGAGAAUGGGGUGAUAACAGUGAAAGGUGACCAAAGAGGGUCCAGGGAAUGCUAUCAUCCUGACUGUUGUGGACAUGACAGAAGUCCCAAGCGAGGCCCCCUCGAACGAAAAGAUGUUGACAUGAUCAACGCACCUCCCGAGCAGGAAGAACUAUCCAUGAUCAAUGAGAUCAAUCUCCUUGUGAUUGAACACGAACCCCAAACACAACUCCUGUUGAGGAGCUCGAAAGCUUCCCGAUCGACCCCCGGGACCCCACGAAGGUAUUGAAAGUAGGUAAAGGCUUGUGCAAUGUCAUGAAAGAGAAAUUGAAAGACUUUCUCUGUAAAAACCUUGACGUCUUUAAUUGGAGGCAUAAGGACAUAGUGUGCAUAGACUCCAAGGUCAGCUGUCACUACCUAAAAAUAGAUCAUAAGGUUUCCCCACAUCGACAGAAGAGAAGAGCCUUCAACCCAGAAAGGUAUGAGGCUUCGAAGGAAGAAGUUCAGAAGCUAAUCAAGAAUGGAUUCAUCAGAAAGGCCUUCUACCCAAAGUGGGUCUCCAACCCGGUGCUAAUGAAGAAGCACAACGAUAAAUGGAGGGUAUGUAUUGACAUUACGAAUCUUAACAAGGCAUGCCCUAAAGACAGCUUCCCACUUUCGAGAAUCGAUCAAUUAGUAGACUCAACCACUAGGCAUGAGCUCCUAAGUUUCAUGGACCCCUACUUAGGUUAAAACCAAAUACCCAUGUACCUGACCGAUGAGGAGAGCACCUCCUUUAUCACUAAUAUAGGCCUUUACAUCUACAAAAUGAUGCCCUUCGGGUUGAAAAACAUCGGGGCCACAUAUCAAAGACUCGUCAAUAAAAUAUUUGUGGACCUCAUCGGCAAAACGGUGAAAGUCUAUGUGGAUGAUAUGCUUGUGAAAAGUUUGAAGGCAGAUGACAAUGUUACGCACUUGAAUGACACUUUUCGAACCCUCAGAAGGUACAGGAUGAAGCUCAACCUCCUCAAGUGUACUUUUGGCAUUGCCUUCGACAAAUUCUUGGGUACAUGGUCAAUCAAAGAGGAAUUGAAGCCAACCUCGAAAAGAUCAAUGCCCUGCUCGAGAUGAGAUCACCUCAGAAACCCAAGGAAGUCCAAAGCCUAACGGGACAAGUAGCAGCUCUCAACUGCUUUGUCUCCAAGGCCACUGACAAAUGCCUCCCAUUCUUCAAAGUAUUGAAAGUCGGGGUAAAGUUCAAAUGAAAUGAAGAGUGUGAAGAGGCCUUCCAGGGCCUGAAAAGGCAUAUAGGGUAGGCCCCUCUCCUCUCUAAGCCAAAGCUUGACGAUAUCCUUCAGCUAUACCCGGUCGUCUCCAAUGAGACCAUUAGUGCAGUCCUAACUCGAGGGAAAGGAACCACCCAACUCCCCGUAUAUUACACCAGCAAAGUACUCCUAUGUCUGGAAACUCGCUAUCUCGAUAUGGAGAAGCUAGCAUUGGCCCUGAUUAUAGCUUCUAGGAAGCUGAGGCCCUACUUUUAGGUACACACCAUUCACAUGCUGACCAACUUUCUCUUGAGGCAAGUGCUACAGAAGCCAGAUGUCUCAGGAAGACUACUGAAAUGGGCAGUCAAAUUAAGUAAAUUCGACAUUGUCUUUAAGACAAGGGCAGCCAUCAAGGGCCAAGCCUUAGCUGAUUUUGUGGCGGAGUUCACUAAUGUGCCCGAGGUGGAAGAGGUUAUGGAACCUGUUGAGCACCUAACGUGGAACUUGUUCGUGGAUGGUUCGGCUAGAGACAAAGGUUCGGGAGCUGGGAUAGUCCUAGUCAGCGAGAAAGUCACAAGCUGAAUUCAGCCAUGAGGUUCGAAUUUAAAGCCACUACGAAUGCUGCCGAGUAUGAGGCACUCUUUGUAAGCCUCAGAUUAGCCAAAGAAAUGCAAGUAAGGAGGUUACGUAUCAAGAGUGACUCCCAGCUGGUGGUAAGCCAAGUGAAUGGUAGCUUUUUAGCUAGGGAUAAAACCAUGGCCUCCUACUUGAAGAUGGUGAUGAAUCUCCUCCCAUCUUUUGAAAAAUUCAAAAUAAUACAGAUCUCUCGUAUCGAGAAAGCACAUACCGAUGCACUCUCUAAACUUGCGAGUAGCAAAGACUCUGAACUACUUGUAAUAGUACUGAUUGAGCAUCUCUUCACGCCGUCUACCGAGGCUGAACGCCAAAGGAAGAAGCCUCUACAUAGCUGUACCAUCCGUCUUGUAAAGAAGCGAGGGCGCCUUAGAGGAGAGGUGCCAGUUCCCAGCUCUGGGAUCACCUCGCUCGAAGUCCGAGGAGCACGCCACAUUCUUCCCUUUAGCGAGGCUGAACGUCAAAUGAAGAAGAGAAGCGUGGGUACCUUAGAGGAGAGGUCUUGAUUCCCAGCUCUGGGAUCACCUUGCCCGAACUCUAAGGAGCACGCCACAUGCCUCCAUUUGGCGAGACUGAACGCCAAAGGAAGAAGCCUCUGCAUGACUGCAUCAUCCACCAUGUAGAGAAACAUGGGCGCCUCGAAAGAGAGGUCCUGAUUCUCAGCUCUGGGAUCAUCUCGCCCGAACUCUGAGAGCACGUCACAUGCCUCCCUUUAGGUAGGCUGAAUGUGAAAGGAAGAAAUCUCUACAUGACUGCACCAUCCACCAUGUAGAGAAGCGUGGGUGCCUCGACAAAAGGGUGCCAGUUCCUAGUUCUGGGAUCACCUCGACCGAACUUCGAGGAGCACGCCACAUAUCUCCCUUUGGCGAGGCUGAACGCCAAAGGAAGAAGCCUCUAUUUGGCUGCACCAUCCACCAUGUAGAGAAGCAUGGACGCCUCGGAGGAGAGGUCCUGAUUCUCAACUCUGGGAUCACUUCGUCCAAACUCCGAGGAGCACGCCACAUGCCUCCUUUUGGCGAGGCUGAACGCCAGAGGAAGAAGCCUCUGCAUGGCUGCACCAUUUACCAUGUAGAGAAGCAUGGGCACCUCAGAUGAAAGAUCCUGACUCCCAGCUCUGGGGUCACCUCAACCGAAAUCUGAGGUACACGCCACAUGCCUCCCUUUAGCGAGGCUGAACGCUAAAGGAAGAAGCCUCUAAAUGCACAUCCCAUCCACCAUAGUCUCACCUCCUCAAUUCGAACUCAAUAGAGAAGUCCAGUCUAAUAAUCUAUUCAGUUUGCAUUGAAUACUUCAUUCAAUGUGGACAUCACGAUUUAUUUUAAGUGAUGGAACUUCAGUGCAACCCAUUAAGUCAUCAUUUAGAUAGCCUGAUUAUUAACUCAUCCUUAAGCUUGAUUAUUUCAAGUGAUGGAAGUUAGGAUGUUAAGUCCGGAUUAUUAACUCAUCCUUUAGUUUAAUUAUUUAGCGAGGUCCAUUCACUAGAUAUUGAAAAAUGAACAGAACAUUGCAAAACAUGACAUUCAUUGACAUUAAAUAUAUUACAAGAGGUAGGCUCGAGGCCAGUACAUUCGAGUGAAUAAAAAGUAAACUAUGCUCCACUUAGGCGGAUGGUGGGGGUGCCUUGGCAACAGGCACCUCCGCAACUUGAGUUUCAGAAGUGUCUGCUUCAUUAUCCUCGACCGCUUCAUCACCGAUUGCUUCCUCAACAGGCGUCUGAGAAACUUCAUCGACAAACUCCAACUUCAGUUGUGAUAGGUCGACGCUUGGGAAAAGCUCCUCAGACCUAUCCAGCACCUUAGCAUAGGCAAAGUUCCUUCAAUACAACCCGAAGCGCUGAUACUCCACAGUGAGAUGAAAGUUGGCAAUGUAAUUCUUAACUGCCUCCUCCCUCGCCACCUGGACCUCCUCUCUUGCCUUUUUUAGCUCGUUAACAUGCCACUUUAUUUGAUCAUCUAAAAACUUAUAAGCAUCUUGGGCCCUUGCUAACUCCCUGUUAGCCUUCUCCAGGGCCUCGACCGUUAUCCUUUGGUGAUUAUUGGAAGUCUCCACCUUUUUUGUGAGGGAAGCCACCUCACAUUGGGACUCAUAGACCUCCUUUUUUGAGGUCUCGAUCUGGGCCAAGGCAGACUCCAACCUAGCAGCAUCUUCAACUUUUUGGGCCUUCAUCUUCUCUGCUUUAGCCCUUAUUUUCUUCAAUUCCUCCUCAGUGGAGGCCAACUUGUCCUUCGAUGACUUAUUCCUCGUCUGAAAAUCAACGAGCAUCUCCCUACACUCAAGUGUGAGACCCAAAGUCCUCACACUUUAGCUCACCAAAGCCCUGGUGAGGUCCACCGUAUCGCAACUUGAGGCAUGCAGUUACCACCGAUCGGUCCAGAACUUGUAAGAACUUUCUGUGGUGCUUCGAACAUUUGCCGACAGCGCAUCGAACAAAGCUGGUGCCAAUACCUCAUCACUCCUCGCCAGAAAAAUUGGGGAACUUCGCUUGAGUCCUGUCUGGCCUCUGUUUGGCUGUCUCCUCCUUAGCUUCUUCUGCUACCCUCCUGGCAACCUUUUCCAUGGCCACUUCAGCCUCAACCUUCCUCAUCAUUUCAACUUUUACUGCCUUCAUGGCAGAGUCCAACAGCUUCGGCUGAGGAGGGGCUUCCUUGCUGGAAUGGGGCACCGAUGUCUCGAACUUCUUGAAAGAACUAGUGAUAUGAACCAGCCUCCUCUUCUUAUGGGAGUCCUCAGGGACAUUUUCUUUACCUCGAGGCUCCUUAGCCUUCUCAGAUUUCUGGGGGCCUCUUUGCUAGACCCCCUGGGGAUGUUGUCUUUGGACAGCCUCUCUAGCUUGCCCCUGUCCCUUUGGCCCCACUAGAGCUCGGCUUCAGGGGUCUCAUCCCAACUGUAAAGGUAGUCUUUAGAAUUGAGGCCCUAUCUGGGAUGUGGUAUUCCCUCCUCUUGAACUUAUCUGCAAAGCAUAUAACAGGUUAGCACCGAGGAUUAACCUAAUAAAAAAAUUUGAUCGUGUAUAUAUGCACUUCUUACCCUUAGAAUCCAUCAAUUCGAAAUCAAGAAAGCAUCGACUUCAGUCAAUGAAGUGGUCGAAGUGACGAAGCUUCAAAGGCCACUUGUAUAUGUUCUCUAUAACCUCGAACUUUUCCUUGCUAAGCUCAAACCUUGUACUAGAAUCUACAGAGCAAGUGGCAACAGUUAACAAAAAUUUGAGAAACUUCGCAAAAUGUAACUCAGGCUGGGACACUCACGAAUUUCGUAAUACUGGGUCGGUACUUUGAAAGCCAAGACUUUGUCCCCUCCACUACCUGCCACCUCUCAUUCACCCAGAACUACAACUCCUUCCAUCCCUUGAUGGAAGAAGGUAGCCCCACCAUAAAAGGUGCGUGAGCCCCCCAAGGAAUAAUAUAAUACCACCCCUUAGACUCAUCUUUGCCUAGGACCCAAGGCUCGAAAAGAGUCUGGAAUACAUGAAGGGGCAUAUCCUCGCCUAUAGAAACCUCCUUCCAUAGGAAGUACGAGCCGACCAACUGGCUCCACCCAUUUGGUAGAACUUAGGUCGACGACAACAUGAAGUUUCUCAGCACUGCCCUGAAGAAGAGAUGUAGAGAAAGACGCAUACCUACCUUAAACAGGUACUCACUCACUGCCACACAUCUGGGCCUCGAAUAGCAGGCCCGUUCGUGGGCCUCAGGGACCAGCAUUUCUACUUAAACAGUACCUCUCCCUAAUUUCUCCCAACCUCUUUGAGGUCAUGUUUAAAGGUAUUCUAGACGCACCCCAUUCCUCAUUAUAAUCUAUAGGUUCCUCCUCUAUGGCUACCUGCCCAGCCUCGGCAUCCUCUCUAAGCAUCAUCUCAAUCCUCGACCUAGCAAUGGUGACUAAAUCCGUCCCGAAACCGGUUGCCAUCUAUAUCGACAAACACAAAUUCACAAAUUCUGAUUGAAAAAUGGAAUAACUACAGAAAUGACUAAGAGACGAGGAAUUGCGAAACGUCGGAGUAUGAAACCAGAGCAAGACCGGACGCCGAAAAUUUGGGAAAUUGCUAAGAGCAAAUGACAGAAAUCAAAGGAUGAAAAAGGGUUCAAAAUGAGAGUCUUUGGCCUUUUAUAGAAAGCCAAGACGAACCCCAGCCCUUGGAUUGAAACCCUGUAAAUCUCAACCCUUCAUUUCCAGGUUAAAUUCGAAGCGUAGAAUUUGAAUUGUUUUUGAAAUCUACGCCUCAGAUUCAAACGUGACUCUCACGUACCUCUCCAAACGCGUCUCCUUCUAAAAGGUCCAGCUGUAGCCAUCAUUGCACAUUUAGUGCAGCAGCCAUACGUGCCUUUGAAGUUGAAACGGCUCGACUGCCUUUUCUUGGUAACAUGCGCAGAACAUCAAAUCAUUGACACAAACAUCGAAGACAAUCGUGUCUUCACAAGCCUCGACAGGUUCGAUCCACACACCGCCUCGGCUUCUGCCUUUUUCGCAAUUCAGCCAUUUCAGCCACAUCGUCACAAGCCUCGAUAGGUUCGAUCCACGCACCGCCUUAACUUCUGCCUUUUCGUAAUUCAGCCACAUCUUCACAAGUCUCGGUAGGUUAAUCCACGCACCGCCUCCGCUUUUGCCUUUUCGCAAUUUAGCCACUUUAGCCACAUCUUCACAAGCCUCGGCAAGUUCGAUCCACUCACCGCUUUGGCUUCUGACUUUUCACAAUUCAGCUGGUUCGAUCCACCCACCAUCUCGGCUUCUUCGCCACCUUUCUCAAUCACAGCAACACCAUAACAGCAAGCAUCACAUACUAAUCCGAACAUGGUAACACUUUCAACUCCAACCAUAAUAUAAAUAUCUAUACUUGGACUUGGGGGACUACUAUUUAGGGUACAAAAAUUCUUUCAAUUUUUUUCACACAAUCGCUUCACCACAAUAAAAGUCCACGUAUUACAUAAAUGACCAUACUUAGACUUGAGGGACUAUUGUUACAUGUUGCCACACUUGACCGACCUAUUGGGCCCAUGGUCCACUUAUACUUAACCGCUUGAUAUCUUAGCCGAGGCUCCCAAGCCUACUGAAGUCAACCAACCUACUUAAACAACACCUAUGACAUGAUCCAAAUGCUGACACCAAAGUGAAUAGACCGAGGUGGUCCACCUUGCUGAGGCCCUUCUCACCGAGGUCCAGAUGCCCCAAGCAGCUCCUCGCCAAAAAUUCGGUCUUACACAAGGAUCCUUCUUGAUUGAUUGAUGGAAAACCCAUCAUAGAGUGCAAGUGUUUUGUCUUGUCAACCGUCAAUUAAUAAAUGUGUAGCAGGCUAAAAAGUCAAGUGUGAUAUCUAUAAUUUGAUUUGCGAACUUGUGAGAUGAGGCCACGUGUACUCCCAAUCGAGGGCCACGAUCUAACUUGUAAUACUAUAAAUACUCCCCCAUGUAUUUCUCACGAGGAUAAUGCAAGAUUCAAUAUAAGAACUGAGAUUAUACAUUCUUUGCUCUUUUAACACACUUUAUACAACUUUAUACAAUGAUCUGUUUACCGUCUUGCAAUACAAUACUAUACGAAUUUAUAUUCACAUUCUACAAGGAUCGAUUGAUAAUUAUUGUACAAUCGUUAUGCAAACAUCUCACAGGAUUUCAAACGUUCUCGUCCCGCGCCUUUGAGCCGCUCCCACGCCCCCUUUACUGCUAGUUCUAGACUGCCACGUGUCUUAGCGUGUUGGACCAGGUUCACGUGUGCACAGUUGGGUCUGGUAUCUGUUGGUAACAUAUUCUGGGGUCAACAGUUCCCAUUAAAGAGACGUAGACUCUUGAUGAGUAUUUAAACAUAACUAGUUUUAAAACCCCUUAAGAAGUUCAAAUACUUGAAGUAAUAAGGCUUGAGAUAUGUCAAUAAGUUAUGUCAUUAUGAAGAAAUAAAUAGAAUCGAAAAGAAAAGAUUGUCGACAAAAUUUUUUCACAUAAUGUAAUGCAUCAUAUAGGAAGGAAUCAAAAUAAAUGUGUCAAAAUAUAUUGAUCGAAGAAUGGUUAGCCAAAUAAAUAGACACAAUCCUAGCAGUUUAAAUUUUACUACAGAAGUCUGGAAUUUCUAGAUCUACCAUCCGAACACCAAAAGAUCUAUACUUAUGCGAAAUGAAAAUGAAAAAAGUAAGGUUGUAAUAUGGAAUGUAUGAUUAUUUAAAUGUUGAAUUUUUUGAAGACUUAUAUAAAUAGAUAAGUUAUCAUGUAGUGGAUGUAAUCACAAGCCUCCACCUUAUUAGUCCGACAAUACAUGAAAUUUGAUAUGUAUAUAAUAAAUGUAAUUUUAGGCAAUUUAUCUUAUAUAUAUUUAAUACUAUUAUUGAAAGAUUUAAUAUGUUUGAAACAUAUAAUUCAAGUAACAUUAUCAUGAAGGAGAGUAAAUGAGCAUUGUACUCUUUUUUAAAAUUUUGAUGAUGUAUAUUCUUUGUAUAAUUUCCACUACAUACAAGAUAUUUUUGCCCCCAAACUAAUUUUUUUAUGUAUGAAACUCUUGAAAAGAUCAACAAGAGCUAUUUUUCAAAUCAUCAUGUUAUUACAAUCACUAAAUAUCGACAAACAUUUCGUAUGAAUGCAGUGUUAUUUGAAGAGAUUGACAUACAAUAUAUCAAUAUUGAAGUAUAUGUGAGCAGUGGAGGAGCUAGGAAUUACUAUUACGGUGGGCUAAAAAUUUUGAAAUUUUAAUGUACGACUAAAAUUUAUAUAUAAUAAGAGAAAUUCAUAAUAUAAGUUACCUAUUGAAGUUGUACUCGGCGAUAUUUUAUAGCAUAAAAUUCAUCUAUAAUAGAAUCUAGAUCUAAAUUCAUACUAAAUUCUCGUUCAAUGUUUAGUGUUAAACAGUCAGCAAGAAUUAUUAAAUUAUAAAAUUUCCAAAUAACUCAGGAAAAGUCAAAUUAUAUCGUUAUUAAAUUAUAUAAUUUCCAAACAAUAUACACCCAACGAUACAUUUCAAGUGAUUUUAGGAAUAUCCAAAAUAAUUGCGAAAGAUUAAAAUUCCAAAAUACAAGAUUUAAGUUCCCCCUUUACCUUAAAAAAUAAAACUACGUCCACCAAUCUCCACCACAAGCUAACUUUAAAAAUUCGAUCUGUGCCCAAAACAAUCUGCAAAUUUCGAAUCUGGAUGCGAUUACUCAAUUUUUUUUCACCAAUCACCCUAUUACUGUAAAACUUAGCACGAACAACUGAAGAAAUCUUUAAAUAGCUGUACAUAAAACAAGUAAUUAUUCUCGAAAAAUUAUUCAAAAUACAUCAAAUUACCAAUUCAAUUUUAACAUUCAGAUUUGAAAAAAAGAAAGGGUCACGGAUAGGACUCACCGGCACUCACUGCAGUUAGUAGGGCACAGGUCGACAGUGAGUCGGCAAUCGGCGGUUCCGUUUGGCGCGGCUUCGGUUUUUAAAUAAAAAAAAUAAAAAAAAAAAAAAAAAAAAAUUUGUUGCAUCUGAGCCUUGGUGACAGUGGGCUGCAGCCAAGUGCAGCCCACCAUUAAAUCCGCCCCUGUAUGUGAGUAAUUUUCGCAAGUAUAACUUCAAAUGAAGUAAAAUGGUAACCAAUUAUCAAAUCAAAUUGUGGUUUGUAAAUCUACUAUAUUAAAUUACGAAAUCAAAUUAACACGAUCGAGAAGAUUAUGAGAUUGAUAGUUAGGAUUUCCAAAUUCACUUAGGUUAUUUAACAUGCACCUAAUUCCAAUUCAUUCAGCCACCGUUCAUACGUGUCAACGAUGAAAUUAAUCCAAUGUAGCUAGUGAUCUCUCGAACAACACUAAUCCUAUUUAUACUCCUAAAUUUACUAUCUCUAUGUAAAUUUAGACACAUACGAACACAUUAACCUAUAGGAAUUCAAAUUGGAUUGUAUAACCUAUAAAUAUCUUUCGAUCUCUUAUAAUGACCCUGUUUGAACCCCAUUAAUUUCUUGUAAUGUAUUAUAGAAUAAUAAAUUAAUGGAAAAUGUAUGAGUAAAAAAAGGAAAUUUUUUUUAUUUGCGUGUAAUAUUAUUUUAAUGAAAAAUGUGUGGUUGAAAAUGAGUAUUAUAAAAAAAAAAGGAAAGAAAUGGAAAAAAUGGGGCUCAAACAUGGGCAACACCUAUCUUAAUUAUUGUAAGAGCUAAAAUCAUACAUAACCUCUUGAUCUCGGUAUUAUCCCUAGAUCAAUCAAUUGUUGCUAGGCAAUUGAAGCAUGAAUAAAACAAUAAAUAAUUGACACAUAUUGAAGUGGCAUGAAGCCUUGCAAUUAAACAAAAUAUUAAAAAUCCUAAGCUACAUUGUCAUCCUGACAUGAAAACACUUAGCCACUCAUAACAAUGGAAUUAAACAAAUAAAAGUUAAAAGACAUCAUCAAGUUCAAUUACAAUUAAUAACAUAAAAAUAACUUCGAGCUGUUGUCGAUCCUUAGUCACACGAAUUCCAACAAUAUUCUUUGUCUCCUUCCUUGCGUAGUAUAAAUCUCCCGACUAUUUUCAGUAAUUCCCCAAUUAAAAUUUUGAUUGCCCAGCCAAAUUUGGAAUUUUUCUCUUCUUUCUUUCUUUUUCUCCCCCCGUCCGAGUCAUCUGGGUCUCCUUAAUCUCCCUUCUGUCACAAGCUGUUUGUAGUCCAAAAGGAUCAUGCUGCCUGCUUUUGUUUUCUUUUUCAAUUUCCGAAUUUAAUUCCAAUUGCAAGUCCAAGUAGCCCAAUCGAAUAUAACAUUUCUCCCCAAGGCCUCCACGCUUUCAAAUGUUGCAAUUUAGUCCAUCAACUUAUAAAGUGUGGGAUUUUAUUCCAAAAACACAACUUUCAUUCGACAUUGUCCUUCUUGAUCCGAUUUCGGGUUUUCUCUUAAAAUAAUCCAGAAUAUGUAAGUAAUGAAGUAUUAAAUCCAAAAUAACGCUGACAAAACCCACUUUUAGUGAUUUAAAUAAGUGUAAAUUCAACACUUAUCAAUAUACCAGAUAUGUCUACAACAAUUAUCAAUAUACCAGAUAUUUAUUUUUAUUUCAAUUCAACAAUGUCUACAACAAUUAUCAAUAUAGACAAAAUUCGAUCUAAUCCUGAAAGAACCAAUGUAACUCGUGACAUGCUAGAUGACAUCGUCUAGUGUUGAAGUCAUUUUCUACUAUGAUAUUUGUCAAAAAUUUAAAAGUGGGGGAAUAUUAUAGUAAUCCAGUUGUUAUAGACGUUUGAUGUGAGCAGAAAAUUCUGUCUCCUUUUCUAUUGCAAUUCCAUUUCCAAGAGUAGUUGACGAGUCCAAACUAGAGAAAAAAUAUUCUUGACGGAGUAGCGAGCAUUUUUGUCAAUGUCGAUGGGGUUGGUUUCCUACUCCAGCUGACUCAUAAAGGGCCACAAUUAUGCAACACGUGAUAAAGCGGCCAAGUAAAGUUUCACCUUCCUCGGUUUGGGGGACAAAUUUCAUCUCACGAAUUUCAUUAUAUAUUUAGUUAAUAACACAAUAGAAAUUGAAUGACUAACAUAAAAAAACCUAUAAAUCAAGGGACAUCUAGUGAAAUUUUUCCUUCCAAAAUUACCCUUGGAGUACGUGGCUUAAUACAAGCCACCUAAAGACAUGCAAAAUCAAGACCCUCCUUGAAAAAGUUAAGUUUAGGCCGUACUUACGAUGGAAAAAAACAACACAAAAGAUCUAUCCCCAUUAUCCUCAAUAAAUCCCAGCCCUCCAUUGCCACCCAUCCAACGGUUUACAUUUCCUAAAAUCACAUAACCAUAUCCAACAAAAUCACGUCCACUCAUAAAAACACCAAAUCUUUAUCAUUCUUGAUCAUCUUCUAUCCUCGAGAAUAUCGAAAAUGGCCUCUAUUGCCCUCAAAUCCUUCAUCGGACUCCGCCAAAUCACAUCGGAAAACAAAUCAAUAGUUCUAACGAAACCCAACACCCAAACCUACCAUAAAAUCCGUAUAAAUGCCUCAAAAACCAGCCCAAGAGUCAACGGAAGGAACCUCAAAGUUGCGGUGGUGGGAGGUGGCCCGGCAGGUGGAGCCGCAGCGGAGACACUCGCUAAAGGUGGCAUAGAGACGAUCCUGUUCGAACGGAAGCUUGACAACUGCAAGCCAUGUGGUGGUGCUAUCCCACUUUGUAUGGUGGGGGAAUUUGACUUGCCACUGGAUAUUAUCGACCGUAGAGUCACUAAAAUGAAGAUGAUUUCACCGUCUAAUGUGGCUGUUGACAUUGGCCGGACCCUUAAGCCCCAUGAAUAUAUAGGGAUGGUCCGCCGUGAAGUCCUCGAUGCCUACCUCCGUGACCGCGCCGCCACUGCCGGAGCCACCGUGAUUAACGGCCUGUUCUUGAAAAUGGACCUGCCCAAAUCCACAGGUUCUUCCUAUGUGUUGCAUUACUCGGAUUACAACGCCAAAACCGGUGGCGCCGGUGAGAAAAAGACAAUGGAGGUCGACGCCGUCAUCGGCGCCGACGGUGCUAAUUCCCGUGUGGCAAAGAACAUAAACGCCGGUGAAUACGAGUACGCCAUUGCAUUUCAAGAACGCAUUAAAAUCUCCGAUGACAAGAUGAAGUAUUACGAAAAUCUAGCUGAAAUGUACGUAGGCGAUGACGUUUCACCUGAUUUUUACGGCUGGGUUUUCCCAAAAUGUGACCAUGUAGCUGUUGGCACAGGCACAGUAACCCACAAAGGCGACAUCAAGAAACUCCAAAUUGCCACAAGAUUGAGAGCCAGGGACAAAAUUGAAGGAGGAAAAAUCAUAAGAGUGGAGGCACAUCCUAUACCAGAGCACCCCCGGCCGAGGCGAGUACUCGACCGAGUAGCUCUGGUCGGGGAUGCAGCCGGGUAUGUGACGAAAUGCUCCGGCGAGGGGAUAUAUUUUGCGGCCAAGAGUGGAAGAAUGUGUGCAGAGGCAAUAGUUGAAGGAUCGGAAAAUGGGAAAAGAAUGGUGGAUGAGAGUGAUCUGAGGAAGUAUUUGGAGAAAUGGGACAAGACAUAUUGGCCUACAUACAAGGUUUUGGAUGUUCUUCAGAAGGUGUUUUACAGGUCGAAUCCGGCGAGGGAAGCAUUUGUAGAAAUGUGUGCAGAUGAAUAUGUGCAAAAAAUGACAUUUGAUAGCUAUUUGUACAAGAGAGUGGUGCCUGGGAAUCCACUUGAUGACUUGAAAUUGGCUGUGAAUACAGUUGGGAGUUUGGUGAGGGCUAAUGCACUUAGGAGGGAGAUGGAGAAGCUAAGUGUAUAAGGAAAUUAAUUGUGUUAUGAGGGUUAUUAUUUUUGAUAUGUUACUGAAAGAUUUUAUUUUAAGAUAUGACAAUGUAUGAAGGAUCAUGUGUUGCUACCAUCUGAUUAACUUUCAGGAAUCCAUUUGCCAAAAUUUAUAUAUUGAUUAAACUUCAAUAAACGAAGCAUCUCAAACGCUACUCCGUUUACGGAGGAUUAUAUAUAUACACGAAAUGAUCUUCUAAACAAUGAUGCUUAGAUAAUGUUAAGCACGGGUAAUGUGGCACACCAUUUGAUUGGUGAAUAAGUUAAUAAUAUGUCUCAUGUAUUUAAUGAUUUAUCAAUUGAAUGAUGUGCCACUUUACUAGUGUUUAACAUAAACUAAGCAUCAAUGUUUAAAAGAUCAUUUUUAUGUAUGUGUAUAUAUAUAACGGUUGUUAAGUCUAGCUUUGCUAUAAAAAGUUCGACUUCAUCUCCCUCUUCUCAUGGAAAGGAAGAAUAGCGAGUCUAAUAGUUCUUUCUUGAUAUAUGGUCUUUCAAAACCAAAUGCACUUCUUACUUGCUUUCAUCAUCGCUUUUUAGUUUUAUUUUUCUGAAGGGUAUUCCUAGCUUAAGAUUGUAAUUGUUUGUGUUCACUUUUAACUCCUUAGUUUUUUUUUUUUUUAAAUAAACUCAUUGUAAAUUUUUAUACUUUGUCAUAUGCCUUCCGAUGAUCAGUAACUAAUAAGUUGAAUGUAAUUCUUUCAAGGUAAGUAUUAUUUUAUACUAACAUACUAGAGUAGGUGAUAAUGUUACCAUUUAUCUUUAUAUAAGCAUUUUAUAAAUAUAAAAUAAUAAUAUAUUUUGUCUGUUGGAAAACAAAAGGGAAAAUUGCAGCAGGUCCCAAACCUUUCAAAUUUUUGCAGAUUUACCUUAACUUUCAAUUUGUGUCAGCAAAGGUCUCUAACCUUUAAAAAAUAUGCACCUGAGAUCCAAAUAGAUAGAAACCGUCCAUUUGACCAAUAAAAUUGAACUUUGACCAAUUUUGACUAAUUUAAAAGGGUAACUUUGCUAUUUAAUCCUAUAAAACAAUUAAAAUAAAUUAUCAAAACAAAAUAAAAAUAAUAAAAGGAAAAAAUAUUCAUUUCCACCCUACCCCCAAUUUUCGUUCACUUCAAUCGAUUCCUCUUCCUUCACCGAGGUUUCUAUGCGAACUCUUCUGUUGGCUCUACUAUCAACACACUGUUAUUGUUCGACUGCACCUUAGCCCUAGUGAAUGGUCCAUUGUGGUGGAUUAUAGGAAAUGACACCGGAAAUGGCUUUUCUUGUGCCUUGCGCUUGGAGGAAAUGGUUUGAGUAGUUGAACCACCGCUACUGUUAACGGAGGCAGAUUUUUGCUUGUGGUCAACACCUCUUCGCCUUGAGGUGGGUUGCUCCGAGGGCAUAGCCUCAGGAGGCUUCAACUGAGUUACGCGGUGGAGUUCCUGUACAGUCUCUUAGCUUUUCCUCCAUCUCACUGGUAUUUUUAGGCAAAUUCUUCAGUGGCUUAUGGGUGAGAUGUAUGCAUUUGUAUUUGUACCACUUAGUCGUUUUAAUCUGUAAUGCAGCCCACUGUUAAUGGGGGUUAAUUUUCGCAUGUGGCCGCUGAUACAUACUUAUUAGGCACUUCAACGAGCUAAUUAUUGAUGAAAUUGAGUAGAUUCCUAUUCAUAAUUGUGUAAUUACGGUGUUUGUAGGCUAAAAGUCCAAAUUGGAGGAGAAAAGAACUAAAUGAAGGAAGAGGAGACCAAAAGUGCACAAAAACAUGACUUGGAGACCAAAGUGUUCAAGUGUUGAAAGUUUGGGGACUAUGGUUGCAAUUUUGGAGGGCCAAAGUGAUAUGAAAAUUAAAUGUUAACGACCAAGUUGUACACGAUCAAAGUUGAGGGGCCUUGUGUGCAACUAAAUGGAGGACUAAGUUGGAAAAAGAAAUGAAGAAAGCCCCCGGUCACGCGUGCAAGAAGCCCUUUGUGAUCUCUUGAGGCCAAAAACAUCUCAAGGUGUGCGUGCACCACAAAUGCCCCGGUGCGCGCCGCUUUCUUGCUCGACAAAUUUUGCCUAUUUCGCGUAAAUUUCGAGAAAUCUUCCACAAUUUCACUUGAGAUGAUUUUUGGCCAUUUAAAUACCCAAAAGUUGGUCACUUCUAGGGCAAGAUCUAUAGGAGAACACUUAGAAAAGCUUUAAAGGAGAGAAGAGGGAAGAGGGAGAGAAUAUCUAGCAAGAUUUGAGAGUUUUCCUCUAUUUUUCUAUUGUCUUCUUCAUUUUUGUAAUGGGUUCUCUCUUUAUUUUCAUUUUUUUUUUGUUUCUAUUUUGCAAUGGGCUAAGUGUUAAAUAUUGGGAUUUAUGAUGUAACUUAACACAAGUUUCUUUAAUGUCAAUAUUCAUCGUUUAAUGCUCUAAUUACUAUGUUAUCGAGCAUUUAUUAUUGUGCUUAAGUUUUUAUCAUGUAUGUGGCCAAUAUAUGAUUGAUUUAAGUUGUUUGUGCAACUAUUGAGAGAUUGUUGUGCAUUCUUGACCAAAAUAAUUAAUGCCCUAUGUUGUUUUAGAAAAUAGAGAUAUACUCCAAACCCCAAGUGAUCCAUUGAGUUAUUUUCAUAACGAUUUAAUGUGGUCGGUUGAAUUUUUAUCAACAUAAAGAUAUAGUAGAUAAAACCAAUCAAUUAUGAUUAAUUUCGCUCAAGAGAGCUAAUUAACUGAAAAUCGAGUUUAACAAUGUAACGAAGUAAUUUGCAUUUUCUAUUUGUUGCAAUAUUAAAGAAACGACUGUUAAAAGACAUCGUAAAUCCCAACUCAAUUAUAAGUCAAAUUUCCUUUUCUUCAAUAAUUGUUAUUUUAAUUGAUCUUCAAAUUCAUUUUCCUUUCCUUUUCACAUAUAAAAUCUAAUUGUGUUUUUUCAAUUGUGAAAAUUGAGUCAACAAUUGUAUAAUUAAUUAAAAAAAUUCCUUGAGGGAUCAAUACUCGGACUCAUAAGUCUACUUUAUUACUUGAACGCGCCAUUGCACUUACGGUAUAUAAUUUUAGCUGAUAGCCACCGGUGAGUAUCCGCCAUUAUUCAAGUUUCCGGUAGGGUGGGAGAUGAAUAGUUUUUCCUUUUAUUAUUUUUAUUUUGUUUUGAUUAUUUAUUUUAAUUGUUUUAUAAAAUUAAAUAGCAAAGUUACCCUUUUACCGUUUUAAAUUGGUUAAAGUUCAAUUUUAUUGGUUAACUAACGGUUAAAUGUACAGUUUUUAUUCAUUUGGAUCCCAUGUGCAUAUUUCUAAAAUGUUAGGGACCUUCAUUGGUAUAAAUUAAAGAUUAGGGUAAAGUCUGUAAAAAUUGAAAAGGUUUGAGACCGCUGUUGUAAUUUUUCCAAAACAAAAAGUAAUUUAUUGUGAACAAAAUAUAAAAAGAUAGUGAAUUGGUGAUCAGAAACAGUGCUUUACAAAAUAAUAAUAAUAAUAAUAAUAAUAAUAAUAAUAGAAAGAAAAAGAAAACAGAAUUCCAUUUCGAAAUAUCCUAAAUAUUGUCCUAUGUUUACAUUACUAUCAUUAGCUAGAAAAUCUUAUUCUGUCAUACGUUUGGCUCACAUUUUUUAAAAUUCAUUUUAGAUUUCACUUUUAAUUGAAUCCAAAAUUUUGACCAACUUUUUAAUUACAUAUUUUAUCAUUUUUUAUUAAAAUUUAUUAAAAAUCUAACUUUCAGCUAAAUCAAAACACUUCAUAAGUUGAAUGUGCACAAUUUUUUAAAUUGAAAAAAAAAAAAAAAAGGAAUUAAAGUCCUUUUCAUGCCCACCAACCAUCCAAUAUAUUUCUUUUUUCAUCAAAGCUAUCUCAGCCGUCCGAAACCCCAAUUCCUAGGACCAAGAUGUUUGGAACUAUAUCAGAAAAUAAUGUAGCGAUUAUUAGAUAAAAUUUUAUCAAUUUUUAUUCUGCUUAAAUUUAUAUGUCUUUAAUGAAAUUUAUAAUUUUUAUCAACAUUUCAUUUGUAAAUUUUGUCAAUUUUUAUUCAAAUUCGACUAAAAUUUUGUUAAACAACAUCCUAGCAUCACCUGAAAGAGAUUCAAAUAUUUGAGCUUCAAAUCCACGCUGUUCCAAUCAAAAUAUUGUUUCUUUAUUUAAAUUACACAAAAAAGUGCAACCAUACAACAAGUGAAAACAUUAUUUUUGGUAAAAGAAAUGCAAUUAUUAUUUAUUUAUUUUUAAGUGAAACAUUUUACGUCGACAAAGUGUGUCGGUAUAUGUAGGUGUAGAUUUGGUCGAGGACAUACGGCGGAGAAACUUAAGCUAAACAAACUCAUCAGUCAACAAAUACACACACUCCAGCGUGUAUUUGCGUGUAAAAAGCGGCUAUUUAAUUCGUUCGACCCAUUUCGAAUCACCCACCUGGAAAGUUUCUGUUAAAGGUUAACAAAUCCUGUUUUGCUUUCUCUAAUCUCUUUUCAUUUAUUUCCGUUCGGUAAGAAUUUUCUGUUCUACACGAACCCUUCAGAAAACAAGGAAAAAAGAAUUGUAAGUUAAUUCUAUCUGAUUUUAAGAUUUUGAUUCUUAGUAUUUGAUUCUAACUCUUUAAUUUGUAGAUCUUGCGGUUUGUAUUAUAUUUGUGAAUGCGUAUGUGUUAAUUUAAUACGUGGAAGAUAAAUUUAUGGCACUUUGUUCUGUUCUUCCACCCAGAUUCAGACAUGAAUUUUAUGGGCAAUUGUUUUUCUUUUGAACCUAUUCCUUUAUUAAUUUUUAGUUAUACCAAUGGGAAUAUACGGCAUUUUAACGUAUAUUGUCUGUUUAGCUGAAAUGGUUUUAGUUUUUAGAUUUAUACUGAAGACAAUUUAGAGAAAUGCCAAGGCACUUACGGUUGAACGAAUGCCUGAAUUUGGGACCUGAUUGUCAGGUGUAUUAAGGCUUCGGUUCCAUCUUGUUAAUAGUAGCCCAAGGCCUCGUAAAAAUCUUGGAAUUUGAAUUCUGGUUUGAGCUUUACAUGGACGAAUUGCUUGUCUUCAGCUCUGGUACGAUAUCGAGGCUUGAGUUCUAUCUUAAAACAUUAACCUUGCCCAGAGGAGUCGCCCAAAUUUUUAUAUUAUUUAUUAUUUUUAUAUUUAUUCGAUGUUGGGUUGGGUUAUCCCUUUAAGGAGGACCAGUGAUUGUGUGGGUUUUGUUUUUAGUGUAAACUUCCAUUGACCAAAUGUUUUGUGAAAAUGAUAUGAUUUGGUGCCUUUCUGAUACAUCAUAGGUGAUUCACUCCAAAAUUGCAAUUUGUGUUUAGCAUUCCACAUUAGUUAUUUCUGUUUGAGUUCGAGUAAGUUUUAUUGUAAAUUUCCUUGAAUGAUAAGAUGGUCCGUCAAAAUGAUAAGAGGAUUUCUGCACUUUCAUGAUACCAAAAAUGUGAUAAAUAGCAACACAAAAAGAUUUCAUGAUCAAUGAGCCUUUGCAAAGAAUGAUGUUGCCGAGAAUCUGAAAUUUCUAGCUUCAUUCUAGAGAUCUUUUAGCAUAUGAUGCUUGAAGUUUAGGUUUGAUUUGCUUGCUUAAAUUGCCUGUAUUUUUCUAUUAUGCUUUAGCUGUAAAGUAGGUCAUGGAAAGCACUAAUUCACUUGUCUAUUUCUUAGAAUGCUGCUGAAUCGCAGCUAUUACUGUUUUGACACGCUUCAAGCACUAAUCUUAGUUGAAUGUAAUAUGCUUCAACUUGGCCUUAAUUUGUUGAUAUUGAAACUCUUCUACUGCAGUGCACUUGUAAAUUGAUGGUUUGAAAUUGUAUUUCUUUUAAUUUUUGCAGGUUGUAAGAUGGCAGCGACAUCAACAACCAACUUUUCAAUUGGACCUGCUGCAUCUGCCAGCUCCAAACUAGGCCCAGUUUCACAGUCAAAGCCCUUUCGUAUCAGAUUCAAUCCUACAAAUCACCUACGGAGUUUCAAUGGCCUCAGGACUGCUAACUCUGUGAGCUGUGAAUCAAAAUCAUUGUUCUUAGGCAGUGAAAGCAGUGCAGUUCUUAAGCGCUCUUAUAUUGGUAAAGCCCGAAAAUAUAACAUGAUAUCUUAUAGAAAUGUCCAGAUUCAGGCAUCUUAUAAAGUAGCAGUCCUUGGAGCUGCUGGUGGUAUAGGCCAGCCACUAGCACUUCUGAUCAAGAUGUCACCAUUGGUUUCUGCACUGCACCUCUAUGAUAUAGCAAAUGUAAAGGGAGUUGCAGCGGACCUUAGUCACUGCAACACACCCUCUCAGGUAUUGGAUUUCACUGGAACAUCUGAAUUGGCCGCUUGUUUAAAGGGUGUAAAUGUUGUUGUCAUACCGGCUGGCGUUCCAAGGAAGCCGGGAAUGACCCGUGAUGACCUAUUUAACAUUAAUGCUAACAUAGUGAAGACCUUAGUUGAGGCUGUUGCUGAUAACUGCCCCGAUGCCUUCAUCCACAUUAUUAGUAAUCCUGUUAACUCCACCGUGCCAAUUGCUGCGGAAGUCUUGAAGCAAAAGGGGGUAUAUGAUCCAAAGAAACUCUUCGGAGUUACCACCCUUGAUGUUGUAAGGGCAAACACAUUUGUUGCUCAGAAGAAAAACCUAAAGCUCAUUGAUGUCGAUGUCCCAGUCAUUGGAGGUCAUGCUGGGAUUACUAUUUUGCCCUUGCUGUCGAAGACAAAACCGUCAGUUACUUACACCAAAGAAGAAGUUCAGGAGCUAACCGUCAGGAUUCAAAAUGCCGGGACAGAAGUUGUUGAGGCAAAGGCUGGUGCAGGGUCCGCCACUCUUUCUAUGGCAUAUGCUGCAGCAAGAUUUGUUGAGUCCUCGCUUCGUGCUCUUGAUGGGGAUAGCGAUGUCUAUGAGUGCACCUUUGUCAAGUCUGACUUGACAGAGCUCCCAUUCUUCGCUUCAAGGGUUAAGAUAGGACGGAAUGGGGUUGAGGCAUUGAUUUCAUCAGACCUCCAAGGAUUAUCCGAGUAUGAACAAAAGGCUUUAGAAGAGCUCAAGCCAGAGCUGAAGGCCAGCAUUGAGAAAGGUGUAGGUUUCAUUCAGAAGCAACCUGUGACUGCUUAGAGCUUUUCUAAUGUUUCAAUCAUCGAGAAGAAAUAAGGGAUUUCAGCUAUCUCAGAUAUGUUGAUGCAACAGCAUUCCAGUUUUGUAGACGACUUGAGAAAUGUGUUCGUUCCCGUAUCCCCCCUUACUACGUAUUGAAGUGAUUUUAUCACCGAGAUAAGAGUAACUGGUGUAAUAGGAUUUUGUUGUCACGUGAGUUAUGUACUACUUAAUGACAUUGCUUGGAAUGAUGUCAAUCGUUCAUAGUCCAUGGAAUCUUGCAUUUGUGUGGGGGUAACGUUAAUUCACUCCUUUCAAAUCAAUUCUCGUUGCCUUUAUAUUGUGCUUACUCGCAAAUAGCAAGAUCAAACAAGUAUCUUGUAUUCGGAUAUCAUCUCCUUGUACAACAGCUUGUCUUGGUUCAGGAUCCAACGUUGAAUGCAAGCUGCAAAGGAUCGUUCCAAAACAUCUCCAUUAAAUGGACUUCUAAAGCAGUCUUUCGGAUGGGAAAGAAUAAUGCUGGAAAAUCAAAGGCAGAAUGGCAUCCACUGGUUUUACAUCAAAAACCAAAAUAUAUCGAGACAUUGUAUAGUUCUCGAAGGGAUUACCAAAGAAAAAAUGUUUAAAUAGUACCGCCUCACCAGUUGAAUAAGAAAAGCUACUCUAGAAGAGGUAAAAUAUCUUUUUAGUUCUCUUCGUUUCUAUUCAUUUGAAAGAGCAUGUGUCGACCAUAUAAUAAAUGGCGUUCGAUCAUGAAUCAAAUGGUACAAAAGAAGGAAGGUCAAGAAAUUGCAACAGAAAAUAGCAUAAAUUCAAUGCCAAAACACAGUUUAGCAAACAAACAAGCAACGGACAUCACAUUUUGUAUAGCUAAGAAGUUGAUGUAGAAAAAAUAUCUGAAGAUGUUUCUUUCUACCAAUACUUAAUAUUUUUAAUAUUUAAUUAAGUCCAUCGCAAAUAAAAAAUAGACUGUUGCCUCAAUGUCUCCACCUUCCUCCUCUACCACGGCCUCGACCAUGCCCAUGCCCACGGCCACCUCUUCCACCUCCACUCAGUGCCUUAUUGACAUCAUGUUUUGUUUGCAGGUUUUCUGGCAAGGGAAGUAUGUGAUCCACACACUUUCUGAAGCUGAAAUCAUCAACUGAUUCAUCAUCCCUUAUGAGGAAGAAGCAACGACUUCUAAACUGAGGAUGGAAACGAACUUGGAAAGCUUGAACCCCGUUGCCUAUCUUUUUCUCUGGCUCCAAAUGACCUUUCUUGAGCAACUCCAGUAACAUAAUGUGCUCAUACUGCAAUAUAAGGCAAGUAAAAAGAUAAACAGAUCCAGCCACAUUCCUGGAAACUUAAAUCUAACGUGUAAUUUAACAUGCAUAUCAACAGUUGUAACUCCUGUAUUCCAGGUUAAGAGCGAAACAUUUUCUCAUUGAAGACUAAUAUUAAACAAUGUCAGCUAACAAAACAUGGUAAUGAUCUCUACGGCUCUACUUGAAUCUGAAAGGGAAGUAAAGGAAAAGAAGAGCAUGGUUAUUCUAAAAAAGUAAACAAACAAGCAUAAACUAUGAAACUAAAGUUCACAAUUGUUUGUUUUAGUUUACUGUUUAAAAUUCUAAUACAAAACUUUCAAGUAAUCAUACUAGCCAUCGCUGCCAAAAGGAACUCGAAGCCCAAAAUACAAUGUUCACCAUUAUCCCAUCACAGACGGCCAACAAAUUCUACAUUCAAAUCAAGACCAUUAAAUGAUAGAGUCACAGACAAAAGAAAAAAAGCUUUAACAAAUCCAGCUCCCAAAUCCCUGCUCGGAAGUAAUUCUGGAGCCAUAGUUCAAAAGGACAAUACUCAUUCACGCAAAUAUGAUCAGAAUAGGGAUAAUUGACACAGAUACUUAAUCUUGGUACAAUCAAAAUAACUGAUAGUUCUUACACACAGUUGGCCUACAUUCAAUAUCCAGCUAGAUUGUCUAAUGAAAGACCAGAAGCACUUUAGAUGUUCUACAACUAUGAAAACCCCACAUACACCAAGUUAAGAUAAACAAUCUGGUGCAUGUAUGAUGCUGACAUCUAAAUUUUAAAUUGAUAAAACUUCUGAAUCUAAGAUUCAUGGAGACAGCAGAAUAUUAUAAUACCCCUUUGAUUUUAUUUUUUAUGGCAAAAUGGUAUUCAACUUUAUGAUGUAGAUGUUCUGGAAAAGUAAAAACCUUUGAUGUGCAUCAUAAGUUCAUGAUCAAUACAAACUAUCAAGUCCUAGUCUGAGCAAACCCAAAAAACAGAUACAUCAAUGCAUUUAGACAACAGAUAAAUUAAACAUGCACCCUGCAAACCACCUUUUAAUAGAAUCCUAGCACUACCUCCAACUUCCUUACCUCUAUUGAAGCAAAACUAGUUUAUAAUCAAAUUUCUGCAGAAAACAUCACGACUCUUGGGAUUAACAAUAUUUUAUGCCUUCCCAUUUAGAUAUCUCAGGGUAGGGUCCCUUCACAUGGGUGGAUUGGACCUAACAUACAAAUCCAUCCCCAAAAUUAAUUGAUUUGUGACAUUUUCUCAUUUUCAGAGUUGAGACAACCCCAGCGCGUUCCCGUAUAUCAUCCCAUUGUCUCCAAAAUUUUCACUAAUUUCACAACAAUAUUCAUUUUCUGCAAACAUGUUUAAUCAUCUGAGCAUAAGACAAUCUUGCUUUAAGCACAGUUCCAAUAUAGAUAACUUCGGCUAUCGUAAACAAUUUCCCCGAAACAUCUGUUAAUUUGAUCAAUAAAUAAUCCCUAAAAGGAAAAUAAAGAGCUCAGCCAUUAAUUUACCUUAUUCACAUUGAUGCUCGGAGGCCACGUGUGCAGAAACUUGUAAAAGUAAUCAAACAUCUCCUUGGACGAUUCAAAUACCUUUGGACCCAAACUGACCGGAGCCGACUCCACCGUUUCUGCUUCAUUGUCUUCCAAAUUCUCUAGCCGUUGUUCUUCGACUGACUUCUCGUCAACCUUCAAUUUCUUCCCUCCAUUCUCUUCCUCCUCUUCUUCCUCCCUGUUGCGUUUCGAGCCGCCGCUGUUUUCAGAAGUGGCUGGCGCCGAAUCAGCUAGCGCCGGCUCGGAUGCAUCGGCUGCUUGGGGUUCGAGCUCCAUGUCUUGCUCGAUGGUUUCUGGAGCUGAUUCGUCGGCCAUAACAGAGGUCUUGUAGUGCUCGAUAAACCCUAGCGUCUAGCUUUAUAAACCCUUCCUUUCCUUUUCUUAUUUGCCCUUCUCUCUUCUUUUCUUUUCUUUUACGGGUAAAUUUCAUCAGCAGUCACUAAACGUUUAAUAACAUUGUAAUUAAGUCACUAAACUUAAAUUUAUUUCAAUUAAGUCAAUGAGAUUCGGAGAUCUAUCCUGUAUCGAUAUACAUGUGGGUUCUUGAUAUUAUCCACGCGCAUAUAAAUAACAAUCUUCUUUUUAAUUUAUCAAAAAUCAAAUUUGAAUUUCAUCGUCGACUUCUGAGCAGAACUACGACUUUUCUCCAUCUUUAGUCUAAAGGAUCCAUUCCGAAACACUUUGAAAAAGAAUUCAUACAUCAUUUGCAUUCAGGUACGCUCAUUUUAGUUUUACCAGUUCUGUUUUUCUUUUUAGCCUUCAAUACAAUUCUUACUGAGAUUUUUGUCCGUAAGCGAUUGCCUAAAUUUUCUGGGUUCUGGUUUUCUUUGCUUUUGUUUUUCCUUUACACACACACACACACACUGAUUCUUAGAUUUUUAGAUUUUUUGGUUGGAAAUUUCUAAUCCUCGUCUUGUUAAAACUCUUUUUGGUAGCUGAUAAAACUGAGAGAGAAAAGAAUUUAUUGUGUUUAGUAAGUAACAGCAAUUGCACUAUUAUUUAAAUACUUUGAACUUUAUUUCUCAUGAAAAUUAAUUUGGAGAGAAAAAUCAUAAUCCCAAAUUUUUUACAAAAAUAAAAAUAAUAAUAAUAAUAAUUUUUUUUUAACACUCAUUUGCAUUAUUUUUUUCGGAAAUUAUGAAAUGAAAAAGUUUGUGCUUUAAAUUCUGGUCUCUGGAAAUCGAUGGUUUGUGCCAAGUUAAAGUAUUUUAUUGAAUUUAAUUUUACUUCGGAGGUAAGACAAAUAAUAUAUUCACGUUUGUACUGAAGUGGUCUCAAUUUUCAUCAGUUGAAAAAAGAUAAGGAAAAAAGAGUUCAUUCUUUUAAGCUGCUUAUUAAAUUCAUAUUUCAAGUCUCUUAAUGAUUGAUGAAUUUUUGUUAAAAGUAAAAUGACUUUGGUAGGACGCAAUGGGAGAGCCCUCUGUUGAUCACAUGCCCGCAUCAUUGCAGUCACUGCAAAGGGGUGAGGCUUCUGCGGAGAGUUCACACCCUCAAACUGUUGCUCCAUUUAUUUCAGUAAUUGAUAUUCAGGAUGAUGAACAACAACUAGUAGCUGGUGAAGAAGACUGUUUGAUUCAAGUUAUGGAAUGUCGCAUUUGUCAGGAAGAAGACAAUGUUAAAAAUUUAGAGAUUCCUUGUGCUUGUAGUGGCAGUCUGAAGGUAUCUUUGUGGGCUCAGUCGUUUUCUUUAUUUGGGCAAUUUUGCUAUCUACUUACUUAGUCAGUACGUAUAUGUGUAUGCCCAUGUUCUCUUUAUGAUGGUGAUGAUAUCAAAAAAUCAAAUGUAACUUCUAUAUGUAAGAUGACUUUAGUGCUUAUGGUUUCGUAGUCUCAAUUUGCCUGUCCAUGGUUUGUUCAUUCGUAGAUUUUUCUGUGACCUACUUCCUAUUGUUUCUCUUCUUGUUCCUAUGAAAAAUCCAGUAUGCGCAUAGGAAAUGUGUCCAGCGAUGGUGCAAUGAGAAAGGAGAUGUAACAUGCGAGAUUUGCCAGCAGGUGUGUUAAUGCUAAUUUGUUUGUUUAUUUGUUGAUUUUUCUGCUUUUUGAGUUGUGAUGCUUCAAUGCUUAAAUGCCCCAUACAAUAUUUGUUGAGAUUUAGUACUUUCUAUUUCUUUUGUACAAGAGACCUGGCAAUUGAAAAUAAAUAAAAUCAUGAGCUUAUAUACCCUUUUAGUUUUUCACACACUUCUUGUUAUGGACUAGAUUCCAGCUUUGAGUGAGGGUAAAUAUAGCCAGUAUGAUUUGUAUUUCGGUGGUUAAUCAUUGCAAUCUUGAGACCUGAUGUGGAAAUAUAUGCCAGGAUUGUACAGAAUAUAGGUGUUGUGAGCUGUACAUUUUUAUUUUAAGCUAAUUUGUGCAUUUAAUUUUCCCCAUUGUACAGCGUUACCAACCAGGCUAUACAGCUCCACCUCCUAUCCAACCUGAUGAUACCACCAUUGAAAUCAGGCAUGUUUUGAGUACUUGGUCCUUUCACUUAUUUGAUCAAUUCAUUAAUGCGUUCUGGGUGAGGCUAAUCGUUGUUUACCUAUUUGAUAACAAGCCUUUGGAUGUAUUGAUAUAGCAAUUUUAUUUAGUACUCCCUCUGUCCCACAAAAAAUAGGGUUGUUUUCAUUUUCACACAAUUUAAGAAAAUAAUAUAGGUUGAAAUAUAAUCUUUUCUUUCAUUUUUUUUAAUAUAUCCCUACAUUAAAUAAUUAUUUAAAUAAAAACAGUUCAUAUUUGUUGAUAACAAGGCAAUUAAAUAGGGGCAUAUUAGAAAAUUAAGAAAUCAAUUAUACUUUCAAUAAAGAAAGUGACCUAUAAUUUUGGAUUGACGAAAAAGGAAACCAACUCUAUCUUUAUGGGAUGGAGGGAGUAACAAAAGGUGAUCUUGGAAGCUAACUUUGUGAUAUCUAUAGAAGCAAUGCUUAUGAAUAGUAACAUAUGUAUUUUCCAGAAAUUUCAAGGUUUCAUUAUUGUGUGUCUAUGUAGAUACGCAAAAAGCUAAUCAUUUGUCUGGUAUUGGCCAAAGCUUGCUAACGGGGUGGGGCUGCGGGGGCUGCUGUUGUUGACAUUGCCUUUGGGAGUGGAUUUUUCAUAAAUGAAGCAGGGAAAGAAGUACUAAGUCUUGGGCCUGUGGAUUAAACUUAAUAUUUGGGUAUUAAACUUAAUGUUAUUUGUAUAUUGAAAUAAACUGGAUUUGUUGGUUGAUGACUGAAUGUCUGUUGAUGUCAAUAGUUGUCUGUUUCAAGUAUCAACAGCUUUUCAUCAUCUUGAUUGUGCCUUUUUCCCACCCAUGUGGGGAGCACUAUGAAAGAUGCCAAUGCUGCCCAGAGGCUAUAAUUUAGGGACUUGAAUCAUGCAUCGCUUGUAUUUGAUUCUCAUUCAAUCUGUGUAUUAGUCAUUAGAGAUCGCAAGUAAUGAUUUUUAAUUGCUUUCUGUUAAUGUGUAACCGUUGGUUAAGCUUGUCAACAUGUAUUGGAUCAGAAAAAGAAUAGGUAUCUUUUUAUGGUGCGAGUACAAAUAUUAGACAAUAUUGUUUUGUAAUCUUUUAAAUGUAUGCAAUAUAAACAUUUCUCUUUCAAUUGAUAGAAAAUUUUGGAGGAUUUUUCUUAGAUAUAGUUUCAAAUAAUGAACAAGGUGUAGCUGAACAUGGUUUGCGAUAUCUAAGGUUGAAAAAAAAAAAGAAACAAAAAUACUUCCUGGCAUGGAAGAAGUGCAUGGCCCACUGACGUAAAUAUAUUGAAUAAGGUAAUGGUUUUUGCAAAUGCAAAAUUGGAUGUCAUAUAACAAGAGAAGUAAUUCCUGUUAGUAGUCAACUGACCAUGGUGUGGAUAUAGGAACCCACAAAACAAAUGUACUGCCAUUGAUAUGAAAUUUAUGAUAUACCAUGUACUAAAUGGUGGUUGUGCUCGUCUUCUUUUUACAAAUCCCAAACACUUCUGCAGCCCAAAGCAUCAACCUUUUCAUGGCCACAUGCCGUUGUUUUACCCCAUCAGCACCAUAAUCUCUCCAUCACCAUGUGGCUUGUCGCUAUAACCCCUCUGCAUGUCUAAUUUGACUUGUUACAAAAACCAGAUAAUGGUGUAAUCCUACGUUCAACUUCCAAAUAUGUGUGAUUGAUCAAUGUUCUAAUAUUUCUUUGAUCCCCACAUUUUCAAGAGAUAAAAUUGUUUCAAUUAAAAACUAUUUAACAUUUACUCUUGCUCUAAUCUAUUAGGCCUUCCUGUGAAGCAAAAAAUUUUGCUUUUGAGUGACAAUCACUUCCACCAAUUCUUCGUAACGUUAGUUGGUUAAUGUACUAAGUUGCAUCAGUUUAAGUCGUUUGAACUAAUAAACUCAGAAAUUAUACCUUUACAGUGGGGGCUGGACUAUUGCUAGUUCUCCUUUGGAUUUGCGUGACCCGCGACUUCUGGCUAUGGCGGCAGCUGAACGUCAUCUUCUCGAGGCUGAUUAUGAUGAGUACGCUGACUCAAAUGCUAGUGGAGCUGCAUUUUGUCGUUCUGCUGCUUUGAUUGUAAGGAACUGCUACUUAGUCUACUCACAUUCACAUAGGAUUAUAUUAUUUCUCCGAUGACUUUAACCUUUUAAAUAAUUGCAUGAUGCUAAUUGUAAGUUCUAAAUGUUAUGUUCUUGUUUCUUGUUAUCUUUAUUCUUUAGUAAGCAUCCAGUGCACUGAAAGCCUUUGUUCCCUCCCUUUCACUCUCUUUUUGUCUGGCACAUACAUGUAAGAAUACAAAGAUAUAAACAGAUGCCAGUCCCCCCGCACCCAUAACAACAAAGGCAGGAAGACGGAAGGGAAACAGGCGCUAAUCUGGUUGCUAAUUUGUCGCGUUGAUAAGAUUUUUUCCAAUAGUUGGUUUGUACUGUUCACGCUUCCUCUGGGUUUAUGAAAAUUGAGAUUCAACAAAUAUACCAUGGUGUAGUCCUGUCACUCAAUUCUAUUUAAUGGUCAUUUUUCGCCAAUUAGGAGUGAAGGUGGCAGAACAACUUGAUCUUUGUUUAUCUCUGCUGCCUACGUUUUUUGGGUUUCUCUAUUAUUUAUAGCUUGGUAAAUUUUAUAUUUUAUUUUUGAUUGCUUUUUAAUCUAUCUUCUGUGUCAGCUAAUGGCUCUUCUACUCUUGAGGCAUGCUUUAACAUUGGGAAAUGGUGGCAGUGCUGAUGAUGAUGUAUCAACCUUUUUUUCCGUGAGUUGAAUUUUCUGUUUCUUCUGUUAUAUGCAUGCCUACAUGCUUUAGACUUGUAUAGGCACGGUUGCUUACUCAAUUUUGUGAUUGACAAUUAACAGCUUUUCUUGCUUCGGGCUGCCGGCUUCCUUCUUCCCUGCUACAUUAUGGCUUGGGCCAUCAGUAUGUUGCAGCAUCGAAGACAAAGGCAGGUCAGAAUUUUUUCCCCUAGGGAAGAUGCAUUUUGAAAUUAAUUACUGAGCAUGGGUAAUUACUGGAUAGUGGUAAUUCCAUCCCUAGUUGUGUUUUAAUGUUAUUCUCUGAUAUGAAAAAAUAAAUUACUGAGUUAAAAAAUGUUCCAUGACUGCUGAUAUAUUUCUUUUUAUCUAUUAGAAGAUUGGUGACUCAGUAAAGGGUCACCCAAUUCUAUUUUACGUAUAUGUGGUAGUAAAGAUGAGAUACCGCCAAUGUGAUGAUGUAUCAUUAAUCUCCAUUCGUGUUGAAUUGUUUAACUUUUAUUUUUUUCGAGUAUUUACUUAUUUCCGUUUCAACUCGUGUUUGUUAAAUCAGGAAGCCGAAGCUCUAGCAGCAAGUGAAGUUGCUUUCAGGCUGCAGGCAGGGCAACAUGGGGGUUUGCAGGUCACAAUAGCACCCGAACCUGGAGCAAUAACAGGACCAAGCGUGAAUCCUCAUCCAGAGCCCGUUUAAUUAACUCUCAGCUUUCAUACAUCCUGCACACAUUGACAUAUGAAGAACUGAAGAUGACAGGUUUUUUCUUGUAGAAUCUUGGUGUGUUUUCUACAGAACUCUGUAUUCUGUUUCAGUAUUUUCUUUUUCUCUGCAAAUUUUAAACCAAACUUGCUCGAAUUGCACCUUUGUUUGUAUUCAGGGAAUCUUAAAUUUACAGAGCCGUUUUCGAAUAUAUCGAGUAUGACAGCGUUUGUUUUGAUCAGAUAAUUCAAUUGUCCGAUCUGAAUAUCCAAGUAUUCUGGUUUGAAUGUUCGUGUUUAGAUGGGGAUUGAUCACGUGAAGUCACCUAGUUUUGAGUUUGCUUGCAACUCCUUGUGCACCUAUCUUUGAUUUUGCAACUAAAACGAAAUUUCUAUUUCUAUUUAUUUCACGCAGAAUAAAUAAAUUAAACAAAAGUUUGAAUAACUUCUGUUAAGAUUUGAGGUUCCAUCUUAAAAGGUCAACCUUAUUAAGAGGAGUAGUCCAAAAUCUUAUUAGUUGAUCUAUGUUUCCAUCUUUAAUCGAUAUGAGAUUUCUAUCUCUUAACAUGCCCUUGCAAGAUAGUGGUUCAUUUGAGCAGACCAAUUUUAAAAUCUUAUGUUUAUUUAUUGAGUCUUAUUCGGAUCGAAUCAUUUAUUGGAAUUUAAUGGAUUCUGAUAUCAUGUUAAUUUUUUAUAUUUCAUCUUAAAAAGUCAAUUUUAUUAAGAGAAGUAUCCCAAAAUUUUAUUAGGGGGUCAAUGUUUUCAUCUUUAAUCGAUGUAAGAUUUUUAUUUCUUAACAACCUCUACCUAAUAAUACAGCACAAAGGAUGGUCCUCAUGGGACCAAAGCCAAACUUCUUGUCUCUGCAUGUGCCUUCUUGUCUCUGUCCGAAUGCACGUGGCCCCGAGAAGGUGUUUUUUUAUACAUUUUAUAGUCCCUAAACUUUUAAAUUUAUUUCUACCAUGAUGACUCCAUCCAUUUUCGUUAAGAAAUAACAUGGGCUAUCGUGACCUGCUGCUGCAACGAAUGCCAGCCUACAACUCAGGUUUUGCUCUAAAGGUAACAACACUAGGAAAUAACGUGGUCUAGUCGCGCUUUAUUAAUCUUUUUUUCUUUUAUAAAAAUCGUUUAUUUGGCUUUUAUUUUAAUUUUUUUUUUAAAAAAAAAUUGUAUAAUUGAUUAGUCGUGGGAUUUACUAAAUAAAUAUAGUAUUUUAUAAUUUUAGAUGUUUAAUAUGUUUAAUUUUAAUUAUUAAAUAAUUUAGAAUGAUUAAAAAUUUAAAAUAAUAUUAAAAAUAAGAAAUCAUUUUUUUUACGCCAAAACUCCUACAGCUAUAGUUUGAAACUUGAAUUUGAAUAGAUUGAUCUUCAUGCUUGACCUCACUUUCUGAUUUUUUAGAGCAAUGUAUGCAUAUGAUCAUCAAUGUUUGCCACUUCUGAAUGUCUAAACAAUGACCAUUUUUCUUUGUGAAAAGUUAAUUAUAAUUGGUUUCGGUACAUCAUAUGCAGCCUACGAAAGAAAAUAAUGUUGUUUUCAAACACUAGUUAGAACUGAGCGAGCAUUGUACGUUAUUCUGAAAUACUUUAUAAAUAAUGUAAAAGUAAUAAUUAAUACCAAUUGAUUCCACACAAAUCUGUAAAAGAUCCAUGAAAUUCACGGAAGUCAUCACGUAAAAAAUGUUCAUCAAAAUCUCCAAAAGUUCCAAUUGAAUACACCCCCUCAGAAGCAAUCUUGGCUGAAAUUUUCUUUGACUUUUUAAUUAUGAUGAAUGGAUGUUAUAAUUAGAUGAAAUAAAGAAAAUUUAUGCUAUUGAUCCCCAGUUUAUUAAUGAGUGUCUAGUUGGCUCCUAACCUUUAAAAAUGAGUAUGUUAGUACUUAACCUUCUGUUAUUUUGUAAAAUCGACACCAAAGUUAGCAAACUAUAAUAAUCACAUAAUCUUUACAUAUUUAAAUUUAUGAGAUUUGCUUCUUCUUCUUCUAUUUAUUUUUUUAAAACUUAAACUAGUGCUCAUAAUUUUGAAGUGGUGUUUAUACAAGAUUUUUGCAAUGAUUUUACGGAGAAAUGGGAGGAGAUUCUGCAAAUAUAUUUAAUAAAAAGUAUGGUAGUACCAACUUAGUACUCAAACAGUGUAAAUGGGGGACCGACCCACCAAUUUUUUCCGUCAAUAAUGUAUACAUAGGUCCUAGAAACAUCUUAUUGAAACAAUAAAAUUAAUACUAACAAAGCAGAUCGUUCUCGUUCGUCCUACAUAUGAAUUUAAUGAGUAAUCAUAUUUCUUGAUAUAAAAUAAUCCAGUGAUCUAGACACAAGAGCUAAGCCAUUGAGCAAGUUGUCCAAUAUCUUAUUGAAACAAUAAGAUUAGUACAUGUAAUAGGAAACCUUUGUUCUCAUUACAUUCUUUAAUGGACCACCUUUGAGGUCUUUUUUCCCAUAUAAAGCAUUCUAGCCAUAUUAUUAAUGAUUACCAACUUUUAUGUUAUUUAUUGCUACAUAAUACCCACACUUAGAGUCUGUAUAGACUAUUUUGCCAAAAUGGUAGAGUUCGAGUAGUUAUAAAAAGGUUUAGAAAUAUUAUUAGUUUUUUGAUAGACGGUUGUAUGAAGAAAUGCUUUUUGAUGUUACUUCAGAAACGAAAAAGAAAAAAGGUACUUAUUUCAAAACUAAAGGGGAAUACUUUUAAAGAAACUUAGGGUGCGGUUGGUUUCCAUUUUCAUUUUCAAAACGAUUUUUAGUUUUCCCCGAAAACGACCCAUUUUCCGCGUUUUGAGCGUUUUCGACAUUUAUAACUGAAAAUGUUGAAAAAUGAUAAAAAGUCGUUUUACAUUUUCAGUUAUAAAUUUUAACUCGUUUUCGAAAAUGCGUUUUCGAAAACGACGGACCAAACGCGUUUUUCGCGUUUUCGAAAAUGGAAAACGGAAAAUGGGCCGAAAACGGCAAACCAACCACGGCCUUAUUUUUUUCACAAUAAAUAAAAUUGUUCUAAAACUUUAUCUUUUUUGGCAUAUGCAAUCAUACAUUAAUUAGCAUGGAUGAUAUUGCUCCAGAAAUCCAUGAAAUGGCAGCUAAUUGGACCUUCCAACAAUUAAAAAUCCAAACUUGAGAUAUCAAGUUUAUAGUUUUCUGUUUGAGGAAUUUCAAAAUCUGAAAAGCGUCAUAAUAAAAAUCAAAACCUAAUUUUCAUUUUUCAGUAGCAGACACACAAAUGGUGCACAAACAGUUGGUUCCACUGGGAUUUAUUCCUAUCUGGUACAUAUCCAAAUACACUACCAAAUUUACACUUUCUCUCCUCCAAUACAUAUAUAUGGCAUCAAACUAUUAGUCGAAUAGCUAAGCUGUUUUGAAGAAGAUUUGUUUCUUCAGAACAAAUUAGAAGUUUCUCCCAAGGACAUGUCCACUAUUUCUUCCUCUCCUUGAGUAGUUACAUCAUCAAGAAGCCAUUUCUCUAGCAAAGUAAGAGGCAUUUGAUUGUUCAAGUCUUGUUUUUUUUCAUCCUUGAAAACCCCAUUUUCAGGUGUGAAAUUCGCUGCAGCCUCACCCGACUCAUCAGAAUUCAAGCUAAAGAGGGAAUGAUGCCCCCCUGGUGUUUUUGCACUCAUUUUCCCUUCACUAAGGUUAGAACUGGUUCCAACUGAAGGGUUAUUUUGAGUACUAACUGGUCCUCCUUGGGAUGAUUUCCGCGAGUUUUUCAUCCAGUCUUUGAGUAAACGAGCAAUAUUUUCUGUAUUGGACGCAUAUGUAGAUGUUUGGAUUGGGAAAGGCUCUGAAUCAGGCAAAUUAUUGUUGGAGUUUUCAAGGGAUAGAGCCUCAGACAGAGCUUGUUUCACCCUAUGAAUAUCAGUUUGAAGCCUCCUUUCCCACUGUCCUUUAGAGAUUGAUUUAGAAACUGAGUGCCUUUCUUGGAUAUUAGCAUCAUCACCAUGUUGGAGCUUAUUGAGUUUCUUUUUCAAGUGUGUGUUCCAGUAGUUCUUAACAUCAUUGUCAGUUCUUUCAGGAAGAUAAGAAGUUAUGGCUGCCCAUCUGCACGAAAACAAAUAGAACACAACUACUCAUUUCCAUGCUCUCUCAAAGACACUAAAUUAAUAAAUUUGUCAUUCUACAUUAAGUGUUGGAAUCCAAUCUCGUCCUUGACUCUUCAUGAAAAUUGUAUUUGUGUUCUAGGCAAGUGAUGAUUGAUCUAGCCCUAAUUUGUGCACGCGAAAUGAAUGGUAUCAUACCGAUUUCCAAGAAGUUCUUGGAGGUGGAUAAUAAUCUUCUCCUCAUGUUCAGUGAAGUUGCCCCGUUUGAUCCCCGGCCGGAGGUAAUUAUUCCAUCUGAGCCUGCAACUCUUACUGCACCUAAGCAAACCUGAUCAAAAACACCAAAAAACAAGAAUUCGAGAAUAAUUAUAUAACAAAUUAUUCAAGAAAAAGACUGAUCUAAACGUGUCAUGGGUAUUCAAGACGGGCGGUGGUGGAGCAGAAGUAUAUUAAAUUCAACUCUUUAAUGAUCCUAAUUCCUUAACAACCAUAAACCCGAAAAAAAAAAAAAAAAGGUUUACCAGCGUUAGAAGGAACAGCCCUCCAAUUCCCAGGUCCACGUUCUUGAAUGUAUGAAACCAGGAUGAUAUCUUCUUCCGGAGUCCAUGGCCCCUUCUUUACACCUAAUUUAUCACAGCAAGGUUGUCUGCCCAUAUUAAAAACUUAUUCAAAUCAGUCCUUCAGAAGGAGACUUUUUUCAUACAAAUUCUUUUCUCUCUAGUUUCUGAGGGAGGUCAUGGUGAGUAGAAAAAUAUGCAGAGAGACAGGCUUCUGAUUGAGAGUGCGGACUUUGUCUAUUUGUGAUAUAUAAAGAAGAGACAAGUACGUUGACCAUUCAUCGAAAAUUGAGGGUAAUGUGGUGCGGAAAACUAUACCCGAAUUAACUCAAUAUCAUAUUUUGUCCAACAAAUAUUGGGACAAAAUAUGAUAUUAUAGGCACAAUAUGAAAUAUAGAGAUCACAAAAACACAAGAAAAAUGUAAUUUAUGAAUAAUGAAGACUUUAUUAUAAUAUAUGGAGAAUUAAAACAAAGAUUUUGUGAUUACACUAUUUCUAACUUUUAGCGAGUUUAAAACAACAAUUUUCUAAAUUGUAAAAAGAGCCAAAUAUAUAUAGGGAAUGUCCAAUCCCUAAUAGUAUAGUUAUAGAUAAAAAGGAAUGCUCACAAUACGUCAAAAUAAGAAACGGGUCUGGACCGGAUAAUUAAGCAACUCAAGUGCCCAGCUAGUGAAAUUACGACGACUUUUAUUUUCAAUCCAUAAUUUGAUCUCUUCAAGUUCAACACAAAUUUCAACUUCCAAUUCGAUUUAGAAAUCAACUAGAAUUUGCCAAACAAACUUCGAAUGAAAUUCCAAAUAAUAUUUCAAAUAGAAUUUGGGUCACACUUUAAUUCUAAUAAACUCAACAUUACACGAAUUCCACUGCAAUGAACAAAAUUUGAAAAUUCUCCAUUCAAAUACAAAGUCCACUGCAAAGAAUAAACUUCAAUUCUUUAACAAAAAUAUAAACGAAUUUCUCCAUAAAAAAUUUCAAACUGAAAAUAUUCUCUGUCUUCGCCAAUCCAACUGGAGGCAAAAAUGAUCUAAUAAUCACCAAAUACAGUUUAAAAAAGACCUAUAACAGAUUCACAAUUGAAUGCAUCAAAAGAAGAAACUUGGCUAGAAUCAACACCCUCAACCAGAUUCAAGCCAUCAACUAAAUCAGCAAAAUUGUGCUUAUGUGUAGGGCUCAAUUCGGCCCUUAUACCCACGAGCUCGACUCGUGGGCCGAGCCGAGUUUCAGCUCGCGAACUAGUGGAUUUUUUUAAAUAGAUAAAAUAUAAAUACUCCUUCAUUAUUUGGGCUUGGAUCGGCUACUUAAAUUUUGAGUAGGCGGAAUUAAAAAUUGUACAUGAACAACUUGUGACAUAUACAAUUUAAAAAAAAAUUAAAAGCAGUAUAAUAAAAUAACAAAUUUUGAUUACUAUGGUUAAAUUAAAUAUCAUUUAUUUGACGACAUAAAAUUUU